Molecule: long non-coding RNA, 84543 nt
Filed under: Marmota monax (woodchuck)
Lineage: Eukaryota; Metazoa; Chordata; Mammalia; Rodentia; Sciuridae
Source: RNAcentral
UUUUAUUAAGGCUGUCCUGGUGGACUGGUAAAUGUAAAGUGCUAUAUCACUGAUUUAUAUUUCCCUGACUACUAAUAAUUCAACAUUUUUCACAUACUUAUUAGUGAUUUUAAAUAUGCACUUUGAAGAAAUGGCUCUUCAGAUCAUUUUCCCAACUUUUCAUAGAGGUAUUUAUCUUCUUGAUAUUAUCUUCUAGGUAAGUGUUUAUACAUAUUGGAUGCAAAUCCCUUCUUUUAUAUAUGACUUGAAAACAUUUUGUUAUUCUUCAGUUUGUUAUUAUUUUUACUUUUACUUUUAGUAUUAGCAUACUAUGCCUUUCUCUAUUUCUUUCCUUAAAAAAAAUAAUGAGUAGUUUUAGUUUACAGGAAAAAAAUUAGUAGAACUUACAGAGAGUUUCAAUAUACUCCCUUCCCCCAUUGCAGUAUUAUUAAUGCCUUGUAUUAGUGUGGUUCUUUUGUUAUAAUUGAUGACCCAAUAUUGAAGCAUUAUUUUUACCUAAAGUAUAUAGUUUACAUUAGAAUUCACUCUGCAUUUUAUAGUUCUAUAGAUUCAGAAAAAAUGUAGUCAUGAAUAUUCCAUUUCCAUAAGAUAAGUUUAACUUCUUUUAAUAUUCCUGUGUUUCAACUACUAAUUUGUCUUUCCUUUUUCUACCUCUGCACCACGGAGAACAACUGCUUGUUUUCUAUCUCUAUAACUUUGUUCUUUUAGACUUUCAUAUAAUUUGAAAUAUAUGGAACUAUAUACUAUGCAAUUUUCUUCAAUUGGCCUCUUUUGUUUAGCAAUAUGUAUUAACAUUCCUUUUUGUCUUUGCAUGACUUGGUAGUUGGUUUCUUUACAUCUGUGAACAAUAUUUAAUUACACAGAAUCAUCACGAUUAUUUCAUCCAUUCACCUACUGAAGAAGAUUUUGGUUUCUUUAAAGUUUUACUAAUUAUGAAUAAAGCUGCUAUAAAUAUUCCUGUGUAGGUUUUGGUAUGCACAAGUUUUCAAUCCAUUUGGGUGAAUAUCUAGGAGUGAGGUUAUUAGAUCAUAUGCUUACAUUAUGUUUAAUUUUGAAUAUGUGGAAUAUAUUUUCAAAUUUCUUAUUAGUGUCCUUUGAAGCACAAACUAUUUUAACUCUGAUGGAGUUCAAGUUACCCAUUUCAUUUCUUUUGCUAUUUAUGCUUUAUAUCUUCUAUCUAAGAAGUCAUUAUGGACUCUCAGGUAACAAAAAGUAUGCCAUGUUUUACUUUUAGAGAUUCCUAGUUUCGGUUCUUACAAUUAGGCUUAUGUUCAGUUUUGGAAUAAUUUUUACAAAAAAAAAAUAUCACUUGACCAAACUUGUCAGUAUAGGUUUUAAGUUAAUGAAGGCACUAGAUACCAUAAUAUUCCUCCAAAGACUGGUUUAUGGUUUAUUUUGCUGGCUUGUUUUAAUGACAAUUAAUUCGAAUGGGUUGGAACUACAAAGGCUGUUAAGUGUCAUUUCAAACAUAAAGUCAGUUCCUUCAUCUUUAUCAGUGAUGCUUGGCUUCUACUCACCUAUGCAAGUUUCAGGGAAACGAGGGUCCUCCCUGCCCCUGGCUUGCUCUUCUCUGGUAUUCCCUCACCACAUUGUCAGCAGUAUUAUAACCUAGAACUCUGUCAAUUUAUUAGAGCAAAUUAACAGUAAGAGAUAAUAAGGUGGUAACUUCUACAUAAGAAUUUACAUUAUUUGGGAGAAAAAGAGGGAGGAGAAAUGCAAAAUUGUUUCUUUGCAUUUCAAACUCUAACUGAUCUUCCUUUUCUGAAUUAUUGUAACUUUUAAUUUGCACCAUAAUUAUGUUUUGUUUAAGUACCUAAAGGAAUUAAGCUUUAUUUACACAACCCCUGCCUCUCCACCUGCCACUGUUGAGGAAACCAUUUAAAUAAGGGUUAUCCAAUUUGAUAAUUGUCUAAUGUAAUUGCCUAAAUUAGCUGGAAGGAGAUGCUGCAUACUGAUGUGUAGUCGGUAACUGUCCAAUGGAGAAAAUUAUGUCGAGUUGCCCUCUUGCUAAGAACCAUGCUUGUUCUUGACAAAAUCUGGAAGAGGAGUGUAGCUUUCAAAUGGCUAGAAUUAGAAUAAAACUGUAAACUACAAGAUUGGUAGAUUUUACAGAAUAGCAAAGGGGAAACAUUCCUGAGUGGGAAAGGUUUCCAUACUUACUAGACUUGACUUCAUUCCAAAGUUCUUUGUAAAUUUGAACCAAAGUAAGCAAAGCUUUUGUGUAGACAUGACUUUUGUUUUGCAAUUCUGCAAUUUAGAAAUAAUAGGGCAGACUGACAGUCUUCUAUACUUGGAAAUAAUAAACAAAUUCAGAUGAAAACACACCCAAAAUGCAGGGAAAUAGACAAGGUAUGUUCAGUUCCUUCAAAGAAUGACUUUGGAAAACAUAAAGGAGUCUGUGCAUAGUGUCGAUUUCAAGGAUCACAGAAAGUAGUACAGACCUUGAAAAAAAUCUUUCAAUUUAAAGCACAGUAAAACACAUUUGUGUGUGUGUGGUGUGUGUUUGUGUGUGUGUGUGAUGUUGAGAAUGAAAACCAGAGCUACAUUAUGUAUAACAUUUAUGAUUCUUGUGUGCAUAUGUGUGUUCAUGAACAAACAGAUAUUCAAGCUCACUGUUUUAGUUAAUCCAAGAUGGUAUUUUACAUGUGAAUUUUGUGUUUAUUUAAAAAAUAAAUAAAUAAAUAGUGCUUGCUAAUUUAUGGCAUCCUAAGAUAAACACUAGGAAAGCCCAGUUUCCCAAGUAUAUUUCACUUAACAUUGGUGCUAGACAUCAAACACACAAACACACACACACACACAGAGUACUCUAAUAAUAGAUACAAUAAUAGAUAACUGUCUUCCAGAAAUGCUGUAUAUUUUAUUUAUCUCUUGGAUAUUUGCAAUGAUCAAGAAUAUAUGAAUAUAUGAAAAAUACUGAGAGAUCUGGUACCAAAGAAAGUUAUUGAGAGUUUUCUUUCUUUUCUUCUUUUUCCCUCCUUCCCUCCCUUCCUUCCUUUCUUUUUCUUUUCAGUGUUUUUUUUUUUUUUAGUAUCUUCAAUUUCCUGCCCAUAUAAUGUCUAUUAACAUAGAUACAACCUCUGGGACAUUUUCCAGGAGAAUAGAUACAAAGAUACAAAAAAUAUUUAUAUAAAUCCAAAUUUAACGUAUUCCCACUGACUACCACAUUCAAGACUCUAGUGCUGAAAGCUGAUAAGCCCAAGAACAGUGGGUAAAUCCCACCUGUACCUCCAUAGACUCAACGUGAUGCAUCCAAAAAGCACAUUUCUGACAAUCUUAGAAGAGGUGCCCAAACCAACCAACCAACAAACAAACAAACAAACAAAAAGUUGAAUAUUCAUUGUAAUUCCUCAAAAAAUACAAAUAGGAUAUUUCUUUUAUGGGACAAAAUUAACGUCUUAAAAAAUCCAUCUCCCUUCAUCCCUGCAAAGCCAACUCAUGAAUCAAGACAGGUCAUCUCUUUUUCAGGACCCAGUCACCUGCUUUUGCAGAACUCCCAUGAAUCUCCCCAAACCCUGGAAAGCCAGAUCCAGCCUGGAUCUUUCCUCACAACCGCUCUCACCUUGGCUGGAUCUCCUCCUUUCUGAAUUUUCCAGUGAAUCCAUCUCAACUCCUCCCUGGAAUUCUGUCCGGGCUGUUUUACCCAUUUCUUCUUCUGCACAGUCCCGCCAACUCAUGCGAAUAAGUGAGGCAGGGGAUUGAAGAGAGAGUUGAGGUGAAGGCUGUGAUGACGGAGACAUUUUGCCCUCAAUCCAAGCAAGCCUCGACUACUUUUAAAUCACUUUUUGAAUUAUGACUUGAGAUACUAAGAAUCUGUUUCAAUUAUGUGAAAAAUAAUAAAGAUAUGUUUUUAAAAAUAGGGUUUCAAAAGAAACAAAAAUAAUCCAAAUAAUUCUUGUUGUAGAUCUAAUUGUGACAGGUAAAGUAAAUGUCAAAGUAAGAAAUACUUGCAUAUUUCAUCUUUCAAAACAUCAGCUGAGCAUCAACUACUGAGAGAACAGAUGGCAUUGAAUAAAUUCAGUCCAAGUACCCUUAGAAGUUUUGUUACUGAAGGUAGAUUUCUUAAACAAGUUAUCUCAUGCUGAUGAUCAGGAGCUCCAAAUCAGUGGUCACCCAGAUCUUGAUUGAUUUGUUUUACAAACAAUUGGUGACAGUUGAUAGCUAAUGAAGUAGGGGUUCCCUUGAAUGUAUAUUGAGAUUUUCUUCUAAAGUCUUUUACAAUACAUCUAUGUUUCACUCAGAGUAAAAAUAUCUUUCAUGGCUAUCUGACUGUAAUGUAUUUUAGCAUACAAAAGAGAAAAAUACUGUUUCAAUACUGAUGGAAAGACAUGAGCCCUUUGCAUCUCAUCAGAAUUAUAUGUAGUGAUUUAUUUUUCUGUUUGAUAAAAAAAACACACCAAGGGUAUGUGUGCACAUGCAUGUGUGUUCACAUGCUUAAGUGCUUGCACAUUUGGUUAUUUUCUUUGAUUGUACUGCCUUGGAAUGCCCAAUUUCAUGGGGGUUUGCAUUGCUGUAGGUUCUUGAAAUUAGGCAGUGUCAGAGAGGUGACAGUAAUGCAUAUCAUCAGAGCUUGAUGCAUUUUUAUAUGUUCUGCUUCCUUCAUUAAGUCUCAGUAUAAUUUUUCCAAAUUAAGAAGUUAAAAAAUAUCUUAAGUGUGAUAGUAUUUUAAGAAGGCAAUGUUAGCAAUGUUACUUGUGAUGACAUAUAUCAAGGCUCUAUGAAUUUCAGCAGGUAAUUUCAAAUAUUGUUUCCUUCUCUUGGUAAUGUAGUUAUUAAAUUAGCAAGUUACCAAAAGGGUGCUCCACACCCAAACUAACAAUUCACAUCAUAUGGGAUAAUCCUCCAGGGAUACAUAGCAUUGCAUCAAUUCACCCCUAAUAUCUACUCUGCUUCCCCUGACUCCUUUGGGACUUGUAGUGACUAUCAAUAUUGUCAAAUAGAAGAAAAAAUCACAAAGAAAUUGAGGGAGUAAUAUUGGUUUGGGCAUAAGGAAUCUGUAGUUACUAAGUUAUCCUACAGUUAAGAUUACUUAUCAGUUCAUGUUUCUACAAUAGAAAUACCACAGACUGGGUUACUUAUAUAAUGAACAUUUCUUUUCUCAUAGGCCUGGAUACUGAGAAUUCCAGGAUCAAGGUCCUGGUACAUUCAGUGUCUAAAAAGAUGUGCAUCAGGGUUGUAGGCUGAGGCAGGGGUUGCCAUCAUUGGCUAUUAAUUUUGUUUUGUUUUGUUUUGUUUUUAUCAUCAUUGUCUUAGUUGUUAUAACUCUAUUAUUCUUAUAUAGGAAGCUUUUUGGCAUUGCAGACCCUAUUCAAACAUAUUUAUGAGUAAAGAAAUGAUAAUCAUAAAUCAAAAUUCCUGAUUAAAUACAGGAGCGAUCUUUGCAUGGAUGUGAAAUAUUUUCUGUUCAUGAACAUGAACUGACCUCUAGAACUUAGAUUUCUUCUUCCCACUUAUUACCUAGAUAACAUAAAUAUUCCAUAAUAACCAAUAAGAUACAUUAAAUUUCAUAUCUUAAAAUAUCCCAUAGUCUCCCUCAGUAUUAAACCAAUAUUUAAAUAUAUUUUUAAAUUAUUUUAAUUUUUUAAUUAGUUAUGCAUGACAGUGUAAUGCACUUAUGCACUUUUAUAUAUCAUACAUAGAUGGGAUAUAACUUCUUAUUUUUCUGAGAAUACAUGUUAUAGAAUCAUAUUGGUCAUGCAGUCACAUAUAUACAUAAAGUAAUAAUGUCUGUUUUAUUCUACUAUCUUUCCUAUCCCCACAUCCCAUCCCCUCCCCUCCCUUUACUUCCCUCUACCUAAUCUAAGGUACUGCUAUUCUUCCCUAGUGCCCCUGGCCUUAUUGUGAAGUAGCAUCUGAAUAUUAGAGAAAAUGGCCUUUGGAUUUUGGGGAUUGGCUUAUUUCACUUAGCAUGAUAUUCUCCAACUCCAUACAUUAAUGGAAAAUCCCAUAAUUUCACUCUUCUUUCAUAAUUUCACUCUUCUUUAAAGCUGAGUAAUAUUCCAUUGAGUAUAUAUGCCACAUUUUCUUUAUGCAUUCAGAUAUUGAAGGACACCUACAUUGGUUCCAUAGUUUAGCGAUUGUGAAUUCAGCUGCUGUAAACAUUGAUGUGGCUAUAUUACUAUAGUAUGAUGAUUUUAAGUCAUUUAGGUAUAAACCAAAGAGUGGGAUAGCUGGGUCAAAUGGUGGCUCCAUUUCAAGUUUUCUGAGGAAUAUCCAUACUGCUUUCCAUAGUGUUUGUACCAAUUUGCAGUCCCACCAGCAAUGUACGAGAGUACCUUUUUCCUCACAUCCUCACCGACAUUUAUUGUUGCCUGUGUUCUUGAUGAUUGUAAUUCUGACAGGAGUGAGAUGAAAUCUUAAUGUAGUUUUUAUUUGCAUUUUUCUAAUUGCUAGAGAUGUUGAACACCUUUUCAUAUAUUUGUUGAUUCACUUGUGUAUCUUCUGUGAAGCGUCUGUUCGGUUCCUUAGCCCAUUUAUUGAUUGGGUUAUUUAUUUUUUUGGUGUUAAGUUUUUUGAGUUCCUUAUAUAUCUGAGAAAUUAAUGCUUUAUCAGACAUUCAUGUGCUAAAGAUUUUUCUCCCAAUCUGUAGGCUCUUGCCUUACAUUAUUGAUUAUUUCCUUUACUGAGGAAAAGCUUUUUAAUAUGAAUCCAUCCCAUUUAUUGAUUCUUGAUUUUACUUCUUGCACUUUAGGAGUCUUGUAAGGAAGUUAGAUUCUAGGUCAACACGGUGAAGAUUUGAGCCUAUCUUUUCUUCUAUUAGAUUCAAGGUCUCUGUUCUAGUGCCUAAGUCUUUGAUCCACUUUGAGUUGUUUUUCUGCAGGGUGAGAGAUAGAGGUUUAAUUUCAUUAUGCUCCAUAUGGAUUUCCAGUUUGGGCAGCAACAUGUGUUGAAUACUCUGUCUUUUCUCCAGUGAAUGUUUUUGGCACCUUUGUCUAGUAUGACAUGAUUGUAUUUAUGUGGGUUUGUCUCUGUGUCCUCUAUUCUAUAUAGUUGGUCUACAAGUCUAUUUUGGUGCCAAUACCAAGCUUACUAUAGCUCUGUAGUGUAGUUUAAGGUCCAGUAUAGUGAUACUUUCUGCUUAAUUUUUCUUUAUAAGAAUUGCCUUAGCUAUUCUGGGUCUCUUAUUUUUCCAAAUAAAUUUUAUGAUUGCUUUUUCUGUUUCUAUGAAGAUGUCAUUGGGAUUUUAAUAGGAAUUGCAUUAAAUCUAUAGAAUUAUUUUAGUAGUAGGGCCAUUUAAACAAUUUUAAUUCUGUCUAUUCAGGAGCAUGGGAGAAUGGGAGAUCUUUCCAUCUUCCCAGGUUUUCUUCAAUUUCUUUCUUUAGUGUUCUGUAGUUUUCAUUGUAGAGGUCUUUCACCUCUUUUGUUAGAUUAUUUCCAGGUACUUGUUUUCUUUUUUUUUUUCUUCUCUUUCUUUCUUUCAUUUUUUUGUGAAUGAGUAGUUUUCCUAAUUUCUCUUUCAGUGGAUUCAUCACUGAUGAAUAGGAAUGUGUUUGAUUUAUGGGCAUUGAUUAUAUAUCAUGCUACUUCUUCGUUGUUUACUAAAUUCAUUUAUUAGUUCUAGAAGUUUUCUGGUGGAAUUUUUUGGAUCUUCUAGAUAUAGAAUCAUGUCAUCAGCAAAGAGUGAUAGUUUGAGUUCUUCUUUACCUAUUUAUAUCCCUUUAAUUUCUUUUCUUUCUUUUUUUCUUUCUUUCUUUUUGUCUAAUUGCUCUGGCUAGAGUUUCAAAGAUGAUGAUGAACAGAGUGAACAGAGGUGGUGAAAGAGGACAUCCUGUUCUUGUUCCAGUUUUUAGGGGGAAUACUUUCAAUUUUUCUCCAUUUAGAAUGAUCUGGCCUUGGGUUUAGCAUAUAUAGCUUUUACAAUGUUGAGGAAUGUUCUUACUAUCCCUAGUUUUUCUAGUGUUUGUUACAUGAAGGUGUGCUGUAUUUUGUCAAAUGCUUUUUCUGCAUCUACUGAGAUGAUCAUAUAGAUACAGAAAAAGCAUUUGAAUAUAUUUCUGUUAAUUUUUUUUCCACUCUAGUAUAUGUUGAAACACAUACAUUUUUUAGUAUUUAAAAUCUGUCUCAGUCUUGACCUUUGUUUGAUACUUGCAUAAAAUUAAUCUUUGAAUAGCAAAUUACAAAGACAUCCGGAAGCAUGAUACAGUAAUAUUCACUCAAAAGUACAAAUUAUGUAGUAUACAAGUAUUUUAGAACAACUAAAUUUGCUAAAAGCUACAUAUUUAAUUAUGCAUGACCUGAAUACUUUUGGAACAAAUUUAAUGUGUUCAAAUAAGCAGUGUUUCAAAGGGUGCUUUGGAAUAGAAAUGUAAACUGACAUCCCCUUUUGUGACUUAUUUUCUUCCUCAAUAGAACUUUACUUCUAAAAAGGAACAUGAAAAAGAUCCACUUAGUAGGUCACUGUUAUUAGAAAAAAAUGCAAAUGAACAACUAAAACUUCACUCCACAAAUCAAGCUGCCUGCUCUCCUGGGCAUUAUUCAGUGCUUGGUUUAAUAUUUUCCUAACAUUUUAAGAGUUUUUCCAAUUAAAUAUUAAUACUUUUCUCAAAGAGAAAGAGAGAUUUAUUAUCCUAAAGAGAUGGUGGAAGGGAGAGGUAGUGAUCUGCAUGAGCAGUUAGAAUGAGGAACUGAAGAGAAAGGUUCAUUAAGGAAAACAUGCUGAGCCCACUUUCAUGCACCAAAGAGCUGCAAGUGGAAGCUGGAUUUAACUAGGUGGUGGGACUCAACACGAAGUCUAUAUGAUUUCCAAGUGAUUGGCUCUACUGGGCAAGGAAUUACCCAACUAUAUCAUCAGCCUAGAAGGUCAGAGUGGUGUUAGAGCAGACAUCAAUUUUUUUUUUCUGUCUAUAUUCAAAAGCAAGCAAAGAAUCAAAAAGUACAGACUCAUGAGGCAUCUUGGCAUCUCAACCUGCCAACAGAGAGGUGUGUCCACAUGAGAAGCCUAUGGCCCCUGCUUCCAUAUCUACUGCACUAGAUGCCAUGGUCCACACCACAGAUGCCUCCUUGAAUACUUCAACAGUGAUCUCUGAAGCUGCCUGGAGGAGGGUUAAUGACUCACAAAUCUCAGCUAAUUACCUUUGGGGGGGAUGUGAAUUCAGCUGCGAUGAGCUGCAGACAUGGAGGCCAUGUCCUCUUCCUAAGAACAUCCUGCAUCAUUUCCCUGCACCAACUGGGGUCUAAAAUCCUCGCCACCAUUUCCUGAUUCAUUUCUAAAAAUCUAUUCCAGUUCUAUGUACCCUGAAAAAAAAUGGGAGCAAAAGACUCAGGCUGAUUUGCAUCUCACACCUCCCUCUGCUCAAUCCUGCUUUAUUUAUUUGCUCAACAAUGUUCAUCUUGAGAGCAUUCCCCAAUAAAAUAUUUACAUUAAAGUAUCCAAGAGUCAGCUUCUUGGAAAAUCCAGUGUGUGAUAUCUAUCAUUAAUAUUGCCCAAGUCUGGGACUGUGAACGUGAGGCUCUUAUUUGAAACAGUUGCAACUGCUCUUUGCACAACUGAACACACUCAGCAUGGCUCUCUGCACUGCAGUUUGCUGUGGUUUCUUAAGACCUCUCAGCUUGAGCUAUUUUGCAGCUACAGUUUAUGUCAGGAUGGGAGGCUGUUCUUCAUAAAAACAACAACCCCAAAUCUCUGUGACUUUGGAGCAUUACAUUUAAUUGCAUGAAUUCACUUUUUUUUUUUUCUUUUCAGAAUGAGGAUACACUUCCUUGUCACCCUGCUGAAACUGUAUAGUCAAGGGUCUGGGCUGUCUCUAUCUCAUCGUUUAUAUUCUGCAACACAGAGCUUUCAUAGUUUCUGAGACAGAAGAGGAAAAAGUGAUAGAGAAGACAUGAUUCCUCUAAAUCAUUUUUGUUCCAAAGUCAGUCACAUCAUUUAUGGUUUCAGUGCAUGAAUCAGAAAUGGUUGCAUUACUCUAGGGCCACUAGAACCUGCACAUAGAAACUGGUACACCAUCAGUAAAUAUAAGAUCACUGUCCAGCAGCUACAUAAUUCUCUCCCACUGUACUUGCCAAGGUGAAGUUCUGGUCCAAUUUCCCACUCAAUCAUUCAGUAAGAGAAAUACCAUAAAUGUCAUCUCUAAAUUGGUAAAAAUAUCUAAUAUUUUUUCUAUAACAUAAAAAUUGGUAAAAAUAUCUUAAUAUUUUUUCUAUAACAUAUGUAAAUAUACAAAAAAUCUUUUUUUGUUAUUUUGAGAAUGAAUACAAUCAAUUUACAUCUUUGAAUCUCAGUAUGUUCAUCAAAUAAAAUACAUAAAGCAGCCAUUGACCAAAGAUGGUGGCAGAUAACAACCACCAACAAAACAUCAUAGAAUAAAACUCUAAAUAUGACUUGGAAAUAAUACCACACACACACAUAUAUAUAUAUAUAUAUAUAUAUAUAUAUAUAUAUACAUAUAUAUAUAUAUACACAUAAAUAUGUAUAUAUACACAUAUAUAUAUAUAUGCACAUAUAUACAUAUACCUUGUAUGGGAUGUAUAUAUAUAUAUAUAUAUAUAUAUAUAUAUAUAUAUAUAUAUAUACACAUAUACCCAGUUGUUAUAGUGUUGGUCUGGAAUGUCCAGCAAAAGCUCAUGUGUCAGUCAAUGCAGCAAUUUUCAGAGGUGUAAUGAUUGGGUGGUGACAGCUAUAACCUCAUCACUUGAUUAAUCCAUUUGAUAGAUGGUAACUGGGUGGUAACUGUGGACAGGCAGGAUAGACAGGAAAGAGUACAGCACUGGGGGCAUGGUCUUGGGGAUUAUAUCUGUCCCUGGCCCCUUUCUGUCUCUCUGCUUGCCAACUUCCAUGAACUGAGCUGCUUUCCUCUGCCACACCCUUUUGUCACAAUGUUUCUGUCUUUGAGCCAGUUUUCAAUGGAAUGAAUCCUCUGAAACCAUAAACCAAAAUAAAUCACUCCUCCUCUGAGUGGUUGUUGUCAGGCGUUUUGGUCACAGGUUUUGGCAAUUCUUUCUCACUAAGGAUGGGUGUGUGGCUGUAAAGAAUGUUGCCUAUUUCCAAAGAAACACACCUGGUGGGAUGAAGCAGAACUUUUCAAGUUAAAUCCUGUCAAUCAGACUUUAUCACCAGUCUUAUUUGCCAUUCCCCACACUUGACCUACUGCCUCUGUUGUUCACGCGCAGUUUCAUUGAGAUCAAUUUCCUUGACCACUUAACACAUCAUUUUUUUUCUCAUUUGUGAAUAUUCCCUGAAAGAGAGUCACAGUUACUAGCACAUCAUGAUCAUGGAGAGUCAGAUCUGAAUAACGACAUCCCCAUUGCCAUAUCCUUCCUUCUCCAAUCUAAGUUCACUGAAGUCUCAACAUGAAAACUGAGCUUUCUACUAAUUUCCAAAAUAGGGAGUAAAAUCAUAGGAUUAGUAUGUUUGAUAAUAAUAAUAUUCAAGAAAUUAGAAUGGACUAUAUUCAAUGCUUAACAUGGUCCCCAUAUUUGAAGAGUAGCCACUAAAUAAGCAUUAUUCAGAUCCCUGUCAAAUUGUUUUUAAGUUUCUUUUGGGAAAAGCCAUCCUGGGUUUCCUAAAGUUGACCUUUUAAUACCCAUAUCAUUUUUCUCCUUUUAAAUUCUAAAACAUUAGAAGGACACCCAUUAGAUUAUAUUUCUGUUGGAUUUAUUAAUUUUGCCUUCCCUAUUCAAAAUACCCCUUUUAUGCAACUUAAGCCUACCUUAUGUCUUCUGUAAAAGACUAGCAUCUUCCCUACUUGUUUUCUUUAUGGGAAGCCACGACUAUAAUCCUCACUAGUUUAAAGACAUCUAGUUGAAUCCCACAGUCAUGGUCACAACCUUGAACAUAGGCAUCUUUCACUCCCAGUAUAAAAGGACCUCAAAUGUUCAUCUCUAGUCUGAUUUGUCUAAUGCCCAUUGGACAUAUACUCCCGCUGGGCAUGCUGCUCAUAUCUUGAAAUUAAAUCAAACAGAAACAAAUUAGAAAUUAUUUCCACCUUAUAUGUCAUUUUCCAUCUCAGGGCAUAGCAUCAGCCUCCUGUGAUUUACCCAAUACAAAGGUAUAUUUUUUGGUUUUGUUUUACCUCCUCCUUUUCCUUACCUUGUAACACUCCACCAUACAAUUUCAAUCUAACCUGCUAUACAUCUUUGAAAAUUUCUAUUUCUCUCUAGCCUAAUUAGCAGUUUCUUAGCCCAGAUCACUGCAAUCUGCCACCUACACUCCUUAACAACCUGAUUAACUCCUUAUAUAAGUUUCUGUCACCCUUGUCCCUGGGGCACACCAUACCCAGAAUGAGCCUCAAAUUUCUAAUUGUAUCAUUCCUAAGAUAAAGUUGAACCUUCUUACUAUGACUUACACUGUCUUCUUCAGUAAUGAAUUAGUUUGCCUUUCAAGUAUCUUUGUUUUCUGUACCCCAUCAAUGCCCCAGCCAUGAUAUACUCAUUUGUAUCCUAAAACACUGUGAUUUUAUUUAUAAAAACUUUGAUUUUAUUAUUAAACUUGGUUCAAUUUUCUCCUGUCUACAGCAUGGCAGACUUUCUGCUUGUCAUACUCAUACUAAAUUCCCAGCAAUUAACAGUAUUUUUCACACUGCAGAUGACUACCCAGUUCCUAUUGAAUGAAUCAAUGUCACAAAUACAUACUGUGCAUCACCCAUGGCCACUGCCCUCUUACAUGUUGACAGUCCUCAAGAACUUCUGAACUUCAGAGAUAUAAAUAUCAUGACUAAGUGUGAGAAUAGGGCUUUCAGGUUAGCCUUCUUGUCUUGGACACUUAAAAAACUUUUUUUGUUGUUGUUUUUUUUUUUUUUUUUUUUUUUGUAUUUUUCAAUUUUAGGCAAGCCAUUUAACUUAUUUCUUCAUCUGAAAAGAUAACUUUAAAAAAUUACCAGACUUGGGCCAGGCAUAAUCCCAGAGGCUCAUGGGAGGUUGAGGUAAGAGUGUCCAAGUUCAAAGCCAGUCUCAGCAACUUAAUGAGGCUCAAACAACUUAGUGAUAUUUUUGUCUCAAGAUAAAAUAAAAAUUAAAAAUAGGGCUAUGAAUAUGGCUCAGUGGCUAAGUGGGUUCAAUCCCCAGUAUAAAAAAUAAUAAUAACAGAUUCAGUUGCUAUAAGCACCAAAUUAAGAUAAUGGGUAUAGAGAAAGCUGUAGCAUAUGACAAAGAGGAAACAACUGAUUUAGCUCAGAGAUUAUUAUUACUUUCACAUGAUCUGGGCGUGGUGGAGCAUACCUGUAAGCCUAGAGGCUCCGGAGGCAGGAGGAUCAUGAGUUCAAAGCUAGUCUCAGAAAAAGCAAGGCACUAAGUGAGACCCUGGCUCUAAAUAAAAUAUAGAAUAGAGCUGGGAAUGUGGCUCAGCAGUCGAAUACCCCUGAGAUACAUCCCUGUUACCCCUCCAAAAAAAUGACUUUCAGAUGAAGCUUUCUUAUGGCAUCCAUGUUGGGAAGAGAGAUUUCUACUUCCUUAAAAAGGGCUUAAAAAAUCUGCAGUCAUUUCUCCUUUGUUGUCCACUGCCUUAAUCAUUUAUAGGAACAAUGUAAUUACACAUUCCAGUCAAUGCACCUUAUCUUAGUGCUUUUAAAAUUUCAUUGAAGUCAAACUUGUUUAAGCAGUGAAAGAGGAAGUGAUAGUCGUCAUGUCUGGGGACAGAACCUUGCAUGUGGCUUGUCUGAUUCAUCAACUGCAGACAGCACUGGCUGAUUUAUGAGGUGCACACUGCAGAAUUCCAUGUUCAAGGCUCUGUAGAUGUUGAGAUGGUUUUCAAGUUGUUCAGGCAUUUUCAAGGCUUAGGGACAAUUGUGCGUGUGUGUGUGUGUGUGUGUAUAAUUUGUAUUAACUACUACUGUAGAAAACUUGUGCAUAAUUUCAGCAGUACUGUGUUCAUGGGUAGUAUCACUAUUUUUAAAAGUCUUACCAGCUCUUUAAUAUACAUAUAAAUGGUCUAAAAAUCUGUACUUAUGACAUUUUAGCCAUUUUCAACUCACCAUCUUGUUCAACAUAAUAUUAAUUCUCUGCUAGACGUUUUUAGUAUCUAUCUAACUUAACUUCCUCCAUUUCUACUCUCAGAUCACACAUCAAAGCCCCAUCCCCUCAUUGAUUGUAUAUUCAAAAUGCAAAUUUUCAUAUCUCAACUUUCAUACACAGAUCAUUCAAUGUCUAACAGCUGGUCUUUACAUAAAACUUCAUUUGUGUGUGUGUGUGUGUGUGUGUGUGUGUGUGUGUGUGGCCUACCAAUCCUUCUAUUAUUGUUUGAGUACUGCUAGAAUUUCAAUUCUAACUCAUUCAUCCUUGUCUUUUGGUUUCACUACCAUACAUGGGAUCACUCACUUGUCUCACAGACGUAUCUAAAUUCUUUCCUCUGACACACACCUUUCUAUGGCACAAUCCACCAUUGCCUAAUUAACUCCUAUUUUGGACACAUUAGAUAAAACACGGCUUCCUCAAGAGAAUUUUUCCCCAACCCUCAUUCUGUCAGGCAAUUUUUUUUCUUAUAAAUUCUCACAGAAUAACAUAUUUUAUUUCAUCACAUUUACCUUUGUGAUUAUACACUGGGCUAUCUAUUUGUUAAUUCAACUAUUAACCACUAAGAAUUCAGGGAAUUAUUUUUCACUGUAUCCCUACCUUUCAUUCAGUGCUUGGGACGGGCCUGAAAAUAAUUUGGGAAAGCACCAUCAAAUCUAAAUGGAGAUGUAAUAGGAAUUUAGAGAAAAUUAAAAUUAACACUAAUAGUAAGUAAGAUAAUAGCUCUAGUUUAUUGAAAUUUUCUGCACUUAUUACAUUACUAAGCAGGUGCAAAGCUUGAGUAAAGAUGACUGACCCAGGGUUACAAUAUGAUCACAAUGAAAACAAAAGUAAAUGAUGUGCCAGUCAGCCCAUGGAGGCAGGCUUUGUAGACCUACAUUGGUGACAAAUUAAAAUCCAAUUUUUGGGGACUAGGGAUGUGGCUUAGUAGUGGAGCAUUUGCCUAGCAUGUGUGAAACCAUGAGUUUAGUCCUCAGAACUGACAAAAUAGGGAAAAAGAAAAUUCAAUUUUUUAUAUUAAUCAGACUUUAGAAGUAUUGAGUAAGACCCACUUCUGGUCCUAGUUGAUGUUGAAGAGAAGGAAAGGGGAGUUGAAAAGUAAAUGUAUUUACAAGAUAUUGCCAAAGGAUAUCCAAGAUCAUAGAUAUGACUCUCCACUGAUUCAUGGUGGGCUGACCUAUGCCUGGAUUGAGAUAUUAAUUUAUUUUAAGACUUUAGAUAAUUUAAAUACCACCUACUUCGUAUCAAAUUUGUUUCAUGAAAUGACAUAGGAGACGAAUAUCCAGAAAAAAAAAAUCACUGCCUGAUGUGCAAAAGAGUACCAUUUGAUGAAGUGGAGAGAUGAUCUAUAGUGUUCCAGACACUGUAUUGAGGGUACCCUAAGAAUGAUGUACACUGUAAUAAUUCUCUUGGCAUUAGCUGCCACUACUCACUUUUUCAAGGUAAUUAUGUGCAUAUAGAACAACAAGUAAAUUAUUUAUAAAGUCUACAUAACCUAUGUAAUAGGAGGCCUGGUAUGACACAUAGAGAUGGGAUUAGCAUUCAAAUUUUUUCGGCUCCAAGUCUACCAUGUUUUCACUGCAUGGCAAUCUAAUCUGUAAGAAAAAAAAGACAAAAUCUUAAUCAUUAUCUGUCUCUGUAGAUCUUAAUCAAGUUCUUACUCUCUCUUUUUGAAUAUUGUUGAUUAAAAUAGAUGUAAAUAUCAAUGUUAAGAAUAUAACAAUGUCAGUGUAAUAUUGGCUUAUUUUUGUUCUGUUUUUCUUCAUUAUAACUGAAAAUACUGAACUUGCCUUUUGUUUAAAAUAUAUAAAAUUAUAAAACAAUUUGAUCUCUUAGAAAUAAUUUUUGUGUUUUAGGCAUAGCUAGAUUAGCACACAAAACUGAAUUAGUGAAAACAAAUGUCAAAAUUAAUGGAUCUUAUAUGUGGAGAUGGACCACAUAUAGAAAGAAAUAAAGAAGUGACUACUAAAAAUUCUAUGGUAAAUUUAGUUUUAUGUCUUUUGUGUUGUCUAUGACAAACUGGUCUAAUAAAAAUAUAUUUUAAAAUCUUUUUUAAAAGUCUUUAAAGAUGAAUUCCCAUUCCUAAUCCAUUCUUCACUUGCUACGUGACAAGUAAGGUAUGAUAAAUGGAAUGAUGGCAUGUGAGUGACAAUGGAAUAAAUGUUAGUUCCUGAAUUGGAUUUAGUUGAAUUGAAUGUUAGUUCCUGAACUGAUUUUCAAGUCAUACUGAGAAUUAUAAAAUCACAGGUGUGGGCACUUAGUUGAGAGAGAUAGUUAAUGAUAUUAUUAUGGAUAACAUGUUGUUGUAGAAUAGAAUAAAGAAGAAACAAAUAUUAGAUUUAGUAAAAUAACAUUAUUCCCAGAAAAAUUGAAAAUGGGAAUCCACUUUUUGUUAUGACAACCAAGCAGAUAUCAUUUGAUAAAAAUUGGAUGUUUCUAAGGAUUAUUUCCUAAGAUAAAUAUAAUCAAUCACCAAACUUGCAUAUUAAAAUUAUAACAAUUAUAAAUGGAGUAGAGAUCAGAACCCCAAAAAUAUUCAUAAUGGAGAUACAAUGGAAGUAGUAAUAUUUUCACACGUUAGGGAUUUUUAAAUCCCAAUAAGUAUCUAACAUAAUACGUUAUUAGACACAUUAUUACAUUUUAGAAAUACUAUUAAUCAACAGAAUCUACAUGCCAUGUUUUGGCUAAGAAAAGACAACACUCUCAUUGACAUUUACCCAAGAUGAGAAGAAAUUUUUCCCCAGUGAUCCAAAGUUCUGCAUCUCAACUGUCACUUAAUUACCAAUUGGGAGACCCUAAAAACAGAAAAGAAGUUUUAGUGACGAUCUUGAACAAAUGAAAAGAUGAAUAAAUAUUCAUUUGUUCCUAUUAAAAUAAAACUUACAGAACACUAAAUACAUUCCCAUGCCAUGUGGUGAAUACCAGACGUAAGACAUGAUCUUAGUCAUUUCAUAACCAAGUGAGCAAACGGACAUAUUUAAAAGUCACCACUCACAGGAUUUCUAUUCUGCAAUCCAACAAUUGGAUGUCUAUUUAUAAAAUAAUAACAUGCCAACAUUCCGUGCCCACUAUUCCAAAUUCCCAUUUAUAUGAAAAAACCUUUAAUGUCAUUCGAACAAUUCAGCAAGGGAGAAGCUGCAACUAUGAAUGAAAAAAAAAUUAAGUAAGCAGGGUAAUAGACUUAUGGUUGAUAUAUUUACAAUAUCCACAAUACAGUUAGGGUGUGUGAUAAAAUGAACCCUCAGUGUUUCCUCUUGUCCCACUGGUAACAGCCUGACUAUGAAGUUAUCCCUGAGUGAAGGAAGUGAGAUAGAAUACAUGAAUGCUCAGGAGAAGAUGAAUAAAUUUCUCUUCCACUAUCCUAAGGUAACUAGUCCUUUUCUCUGGGUUCAUUUCAAGAACUAAUUGUUUUCCAGAAAGGAAAAAAAAAGAUUAAGAAAAAUAGAGGUGGGGAAGGACCUCAUGAUAAUUGAAGGGAAACCAGUAGAGGAAAAGGACCAGGGAAUUGAUGAGGGGAAUGAGAGCGAAAAUACCAGCCAAAUUAUAUUGUUACAGUGUGUUCAUGUUCAAAUAUGUAACAGUGACUCUCCACCAAUCAUGUCUAGUUAUAAUACACCAGUUUUAAAAAAAAAACAACUUGUUAGUAAAAGUCAGUGCUAUCAAUCUUAGAAUGAACCAUCCAGGGAUAGGGCAGACUGCAAACAAAAACAAGCCAAGACUAAAAACGCCAUCUAAUGUGUACAUCACAGGAAAUAAAACAAAACGAAUGCACAUAGAAAUUUCAAUGAAACAACAUGGUUUAGAAUCAGAAAAGUUCACAUUAAUGGAGUUACUUUAAAUGGAAAUUAAUGAUCCAGAAGACUGCCUCACUAAGUGACACAAAAGCAGCUCUGUCUUACUUUAAUGACCCACGUGUCUUCCUUUCAUUAAACAUAAAAAUUACAUAUAAAGAUUUUCAUAGGUAGCCUUGUAUUCUUGUAAAUACACAAACCCCCUGUGAUUUUAAGCUUCUGACCAGAAAUUUCAGGACCUCAAUGGAAAGCAUUGUCCAGUUUCUAAGAUUUUCUGUUUAUCUCUCAGUCUACCAUAUGUGUAAGAGAUUGACAUAAUUAUUACAUUGGAUUUUUCAGUUUUAUGUUGUUAACAUUUACAAAAUUCAGGGAAACCUACAAGGCACACUUUUUCAGCAUUUUCAGACCAUCACAUUCUUCUUCAAUAUAGAAGCAAACAUUUCAACAAGCAAAACGAAGAUGUAUUAUUAAAUGUUCCAGAGAAACAUAGCCCCUGAACAUUAAUAAAUACUGAUCUUGACUUUGCUUAAAACUGGUGUCUCAUACUCUGGUUGCCUUGAGGUCUACAUACACUAUAAUUUACAGUAGUAGUACUUCAGUCAGAAGAAAUCGAUAUUUGGUAUUUUUUUUCUGUAUAUUAAGAAUGUUUUGUGGGAUGUUGCCUAAAAUCAGAAUGGUUCCUGGUCAAUGAAAUAUGGACUUGGAAUAGUGCGGGUGAACCUGUACUUAGAUCUGGGUUAAUAACCUGGUUCCAGUGUUUACUAUUUUUUUUUUCUAGCAAGAUUGAGAAAGUUAUCUUCUCCCAACCACAUUCUAUCUGCUACUAAAAUGCAGAUAUCUGCUCCACUGACAUGUCCUGAUAACUUCAGCACAAGGUAUGACGCCUUACAGCAGAAUACACUUGGUGAAAAUUUGUUCUACACUAAGGAAAGACUAAAGAAACAAUAAAAUACUUCUAUAAAUAGAAAUUAAAUUCUGAGGUUUUUCACAAAUGUUCUCCAAGGUGCAUGCAUUUGCCGCAGGAGGUUUAUUUAUUUUACUUGUUUUUGAUUGUAAUCAGAUGAGCUGUGUAAACAUGCCUGACUCCUGUAAAUGACUGCCAUGUAACUGGGUGUCGCCAGAAUUUAGUGCUUAUAUUUGCAUUUGGAUGUUUGGUAGCGUUCGUUCACAUCAAGUGGUACUAUGCACAAAGAGCACAAGUAAACUUAAUGUCUGUGUGAUGUGAUCACAUCAAGUAAAGCCAGAAACAGAACAGAGUGAGCUGAACCGAAAAAGUCACUUCAGUACUUCAAAAGAGAUCAUUUUAAAAUGAACACACUCAUGAUGUGACACACACACACAAUAAGACAUGCUAUGCAAAUUCAAAAGAAACUUAUUCUUGGUAGUUGGUGUUAUUUCCACAUUCUGAAUAAUAAUUUAGUUCUGGCAAAUUAUAAUUCUAUUUCUUUCUUUUGAUUCAAUUGGGCAUGUGGGGUUCUUUUUGUUGUUUUAUUAUUUUAUACAUACUUCUUGAUUUGCAAUUCAAUGUACUCUAAAGUUUAAAAGACUUAUAACUUGUUUAUAAGUAUAUUUUAAACGUAUGAAAAUAAUGAUAGGUCAUUAUUUUAUUUUUACCCUUUAUAAAAGUGAAAUAAGAAGAUACAUUAUUGUAAUAGGAAGAAUAGUUACAGUUCUUAGAUUCACAAUAUGAGAUUAAAUACCAACUCUCCCAAUUCCUGUGAAAGUUUCUGCAUUAGCUUAACCUCACUGACCCUUAAUUUAAUCCCAGAUAAAACAGGGAUCAUAAAAAUUCGUCAUGCCUCCCGUGCAAGGUGUUCCAGAGAAUUAAAUGAAAUCAAAGAUGUUAGAAUGUCUUAUAAUCUAUAAAGCUCUGAAUUAAUGUAAGGGAUUAUUCAUUUCAUCAUUAUUAAUAAACAUUUGAACUCCCAACAUCACAGCAACGUGUAAGUCAUCUUCAGAAGAAAAUAUCUAAUGCCUAAGAAUGCAAAUCAAUUAUUGAAUUCAUUGUUCCCUUUCAUGAUUCAGAGGGUUUAUCUUACAAUACUCAAGUUUGCUCCCACAAACAUAUUUCUGUUUUCUUGGGCUUGAAAAGAAGUUGCAAUUUUAAAAAUAUGAUGUGAAUUAAUGUGCCUGAAUUAAGAGUUUUAUUGUAGACAAAAGGUUAGGAUCUCCUAGGCUCCUUGAGAGAUUUGCUAAAUUUCUCUCUGAUUUUUGUUGUAUCAUAUCUUGGAAGUAGCCUGUCUCCGCAGUAUUUCAUGCAGAGCUGAUGAAAAAAAUUACCUGUAUAAAUAUAUAUAUAUAUAUAUAUAUAUAUAUAUAUAUAUAUAUAUAUAUAUAUACACACACACACACACACACACACAUACAUAUACAUGCAUACACACAUGAGUUAUAUGUUCUGAAGAGAAACGAGAACAUACUUUUAUAGUGGUAAAUGACAAAUUAUAUUUAAAUGAUUUCUAUAAAAAUGACAUUAUAGAUUUAAUUUUAUAUUUAUAUUUAUGUCUAUUUCCUAAAAAAUUCCUGGCAGUUAUAUUUAAGCAAUACAAUGGCAUAAAUUUCUAAGAGAGUCUGAAUUAUAGUAUUAGGUUCAAAGAAAAAAGAAAACAUGCAAAUUUUAACAUACAGUUGUUUUUCUAUUUUUCUAGUUGCUUCAAACACACCAUUAAUUAUGUUAAUAUCUAUGCAACAUUAUGACCAGUGAAUAUAUGAUGAUCUAAGUACUGUCAUACAUUUAAAUUCAUUCACUUCUACAUAAUAAGUGUCUUAAACAUGUAUAUAUGUACACUAACUAAAAUAUAUAAGUUAUAAACUGAAUUUGAAUUUUUCCUAUUGUGUACCUUUAUAAUGCUUUCCAAAGAAGUAUAUUUAUAUAUUAAUUUGUUCAAAUAAUUAAUAUGUAAGCAUCAUUUACCUCCAGCCACUAUUUCAAGGACUCAGGUUAUUUACUUAUUUAUGGGCUCAGUUAUCUGCAAUAUACUGUUGGCACCACCUUGCUUGUAUUAGAAAUUCAUUAAAAAUGCAUAUCUGAGGUUGAAAAAAGUAGUUAUUCUUGUUUUCAUAUUUUGCCUAUCAGUUGACAGGGCUUGUUCUUGACUUUAUAGUGAAAAGAAAGUUGUUUGAGAGCAGGGUAUAUGUUUUCUUUAAUUUUUAACUAUACAAUGUUUGACACAUCAUAGGUAAAUUUUGAAGGUAUAUUUACUAUACAAGAAGUAACUCAUUAAAAAUGGUGUUCAGAAAUUGGGAAGGAUGGUUUUGGCGAGAGUUCUGGAAUUUAUAUUAAUGAGUAGACAAGACCUAAGAAUUUGCAAUGUUAAGUAAGUGAGAAUUUAAUAGUCCUAUUAACAACUGACUUAGUCUGGGGCUAUGGAUCUGCAUGUGGGCUCUUCUCUUUAUCUUCCAUGCUGGAAUUGCUCUUUUAAAUCCCAGACACUAUUCUUUUUCAGUAGUACACAGAAAAGAGAUAGAAUCAAUAAUGUUAUAAUCUUUCUUUUUGCAUCUGUGUUAUCCACUUAUGUAUAAUUCCAUUUAAUUAUAACAGUCAUAUUAAGUAGCAUUAUUCCCAUUUUAUAGGUAAGAUUAGUAGUGCUCAGAGAAAUUAUGCCACUCACAAUUUUUCAACAAUACUGAAUCCAUUUGAACCGGGUAGUAUCUUAAUUUACCAUCAACACUUGCUAAUAUCUCCAUUUGCCUUUUAUAACAUCUUAUCUGCUAGAACAAUGGGCACUGUGUAUGUAAAACCUAAAGAUCUAUUGGGAGGAUGCUGCCAUAUCAGAAGUCUGGGAACUUUGGGUACUGCCUUCCCUUGCCCUGAGAGAAGUAGAUCUAGUAUCUCUAAGAUAAGACCCCUUUUUCAAUUUGCUGUUUUUUUCCUGGUCUUGAAUUCUUCUAUGCUCUUUUCUUUUCAUAACCACAUAUAUUUAAAUCACCAAUUGCUUUAGUCCUUAGCUUCUCUCUCAUGGAAUUAUCGCUGGAAUGCUCUGUUUGUACAAAGCCAGUUUUGGGGCCAUAGGUUCAACAAAGAGGGUUUAGGGAAAAUGCAUUUGGCAUGUUGGAUUUUAAUGGACAGCAAGAAUUGAAUAGGAGUUGGACUGGAGAAAGGAAUGGUAUAAUGCUUGUAGGGAAAAAUCAUACUUUAAAAUUUGAAAUGUGAACAAUGUAUUCAGGUAAAAUUCUAACCCAUUUGACUGGAGUUAACUAACAAAAUGUCAAAAAGCCUCGUGAGGCUGAAACUAGUAUAUGUUCACAACUUGACAUUGUGCAUGUCUCGAUUUCUGUGUCUUUCCUUUGAUAUAGUUAGAGAAGUUUUGAUAUACUGAGUUUAAACAUAGGAAAAAUAACAUCUCCACCAUAAAAUUUAAUUUUCAUUGCUGGAAUAAAAUGUCUACUUUAAACAUUUGAAAGUACAAAGUAGGAGUUCUGUCUACCCUGAUUGCAGACUUUUGUGUAUGAGUGCAUAUGUGGGCAUGAGAAUAUGUUGUGUGCAUCUGUUUGUAUAACAAAAUAACCAUUCUACAUCAUCGUCUGAUGGAUUCCUAAAUAAAUAUAUGUAUGUUCCUACUUUAUAUAGUGUCCUGAUGGCAGGAAAUAGUAAAUGUCACUAUUUCCCCCAGAGUUUAUAAAUAUUGCAGACUCUGAUAUUUAUUCUGGAGAAUAUGAGGUAAAUAAAAGUAUAUAAAUAAAAUUCCCAUACAAAACUCAAAAUCAUAGAUGACAUGUAUUCAGCUCCAUGCACCCUGAUAAAAAUGUGUCAAACAUGAAAUGUGUGGUGGUUUAUGAUUCAUGGUCAAGCAUUUUAAAGUGAAGAUUAAUGAUGUGAUUUCUGUUCCACCACUAGAGUCAUCUAAGUAUUAAAUGUGAGCAAUAAUUGAACAAUUUUGUGUAAAGUUCUUACAUCACCAAAGAAGGAAAAUAUUGUGCAUAAUAAUUUGAAAUAAAAAUGUGGGGACAGGUCAGCUGAUGCAGAUACUAAACAAUUGUGAUAGGCUAGUAGUAAAUUUCCUUGUGGCCCAGAGGUAAUCAUUAAUAUUUCUUCUUCUUUGGAUUUUAAUACUGCAACCUAAAUUAGCAUAUAAUUUCUGGAGAUCAUAUAAUGACACGAAUGGAUUUGCUACAGGGUCAUUGUGUUAUUUCACCCUUAACACUGACCCUACUCUCAAACAAAGAUAUUGUGCCUUUCCCAGCAUAAUCUGAGCUGUCUACUCCUGUAAAAUCAUUGAAAGUGAUGAAAGUUCUCAAGAUUGUGUUAGUUUGUAGCUUUGGUUGGCUAAUGGUACCUUUAUUCCAUUCUGGUAUCAAUAACUCAAUUUGUCCUUGAAGAAUUGUUUCUCUCCCCUACUUGCUUAAGUUAUUUCCAAGAAAGGCCAUCAAGAUACCUAGAUAUUCCUUGGGCCAACUUAUGUGUAUGAGUUAUGACUUGAUUUCCAGGAAUGUGCACCUAGAGGAGCAAUGGACAAGACCACAUGUGUUGUAGCUGCUUGAUCCCAGGUCUUCCAUGAUAAGACAGUCCUUGGCAGGAUCACCUUGAAUCCCCAAAUUGCCCUGGCUCCUGACUCCUGUCUUUUCUCAGAUCUGAUUCUUUAGCUUUGCUUUGAUAUCCUGAACUUUCUCAUAAAUUACUUAGGUUAAAUUCCUUUCUUCCUUUUUUUUUUUAUUCCUUUUCUCUCAUUUUUCUUUUACAUUUUUUUUUCCUUUUUAACUGGGCCACAGUCACUUACUAUUGCUAGCAACCAAAACAAAACAAAAUUGUAAACAAACAUCAAAAGUGAAGAGAAAAUCACUUCACAGAUAGCGCUGAUUUAAUUGAGAAGCCUAUAGAGUUGGAUUUUCCUUUUUACACCACCCACCUAUGCUUGGUCCAAGUUCAGGGGCUUUAUUCCAAAUGUUGAGCUCCUGUAUUCUUUGUAGGCAGGAGUAGUCUUGUGAGGUCAGUAAAGAAAAAUGCCUUUCACAUGGAAUUGUAUAGUCUUUGCUUCCUUUUACCCUUAAGUGACUUCAUUUGACCCUUGCUGACUUAGGAUAGUGUCCCAUGAUGGGAACAAAAUGCCCUUUUUGUCCUGCUUUUCUCCUAUAAAACAGAUCAUAAAACCCAGGAGACAUUUUCUUACUUUCCGCUGAAACAAGUCUGUCAUGUGAGAGAUGUCGUCUUCUCUACACCAGGAGAAAGGCCUUUAUUUCUGAAGACAGAAAGACACAAAAGGGAACCUGUAAGAGAGGUUUUCCUAAGUUCUCCAUAGUGUAUAACCAUUAGAUAAUACUUUAAUCCAUCUUACUUCUCCAUAACUAUUCACCUCUUUCUCAAACCUAGCAUAGAGAAUGCACACAGGUUGGGGGUAUAUCUCAGUGGUGGGGUGCAUGCUCAGCACACAGGAGGCCCUGGGUUUAAUCCCAGCUCCAAAAGAAAAACACUAGCACCAACCCAAAAUACACAGAUGUUCCCAUUUAUUUACAGUCUUCAUUUCAUUCUGAAGGCUGGCAUGCCAUGUAAAAUUUUCAUUAAACACAUUUGUAUUUUUUCUCCUGUUAAUCCACUUUUUGUUUUAGGGACCUGAACCAUGGAAAUGGGAUGGGUGGGGAAAAGAUCUUUUUCCCUCCUGGAUGCCUAACAGUGUCCUCUUUAAUGGCACAUGAGCUUAACUUGAGAAAAUCUGCAUUAUUAAUCCAUCAAUCCAACAGUCUUCAAAGACCUUUUACAUACUUAUGAUACAGUAAGAUGUCUUCUAAGGAAAGAAGUUUUACAAUAAAGCCCAACAUUUAAAAAAUCAGAUCUGUGUGCAGGGCAUUAGCUAGGGCUGAGUUCUGUUAUAUGUAGGAAGCAAAAUGGAGUCAUGUUGAUAAAUAUUUGGGAUUCACCCAGAUUAUAUUCAAAAGUGUAAGCAUUGUCCUUUUAUUAUGCUGUGGUAACCCAGUUUCAUUAGUGAUUAUCUUGCUACCGAUUCCUAUAGCUUUAAUGUCACAGGUGAGCAAACUUAGAUUUUAUGAUGUACACCAUUUGCUCAGGAGCUCAACAUUGCAUAUACAGUUAGUAUUCAGCCCCAUCCUAGGGCCCACACCACUCUUCAUAACCAGUUUUGUCUCCCUUCUGGAUGAAUUGUUAGAGUAGAAGACAACAAAUAAUCUCACUUCUGGAAGUAGCUCUAGCUGCAGAGAAAGGCAGAGGCUGUAUCUAUCAGAUGAAAUUUAAACUUCCAUGUGUUUAUGGGGUUAUCCAUUUUGAAGGUGGAAGGGUGAGGUAGGAGCUAGAGUGAAGACAUAAGAUUUCAUGUGGUUUAACGAGAGAAAAGGUGCAAAUGUAUUUAAUGAAAAUUUUACAUGGCAAGCAAACUCUCAAAAUGAAAUGCAGACUUGAGAGAAAUAGAAAAACCUGUGUAUUUUUUGUUAUCAGUGUUUUUCUUUUGUAGCUGGAACAUAAGGACAUUUUACCCAAGAGGAAAUUGUGAAAAGCAAGAUCUGACUCAUGGGGGAAGAAGAGAGGGAGAGAGCUUCACACUACGGUUAGUAAGGGAAUGUUCAUCCUCCUGAGACAUAACGGGGUGGUGAAGGAGGGAGCCUAUUUGGGUUCCACCUUCUACUAGAAUUCAGUCUCUGCAGAGCCCCUUUCCUGCCUUUUCUUCUUUGAUAAGGAAGACAGGACUGUGUUUGACAUUUUAAACCCAUCCCUCCAAUCGCAUGUGGAAUUCUGAGCAGCAUUAAGACUACUGUUAUGAAACUGCCCUGAGAUACAAAUUUGCCCUCUUCUAGAUCCACAAUGUUUAUCUAACCUGAGUUUCCUGUCAAAUUUGCCAAACCAAAGAGGAGAGAUAAACUGCCAUUUUUAAAAAAUAUUUUAGUAGAUUGUUAAGAAAUAAGCACAUCUUUUUUAAUAUGAUGUGAAAAUUUAUUUUUUGUUCCAUUUAGGGAGAAUCAAUAUUGCUUGAUGCAUGGAUAGCUCCACAACUCCUCCUUAUUUCUUCUUACCAAUUAUUAAUCCCCUAGAAAUAUGAACCUGGUCACAAAAAGAAGGGAGACAGUACUGUGGUUUGGAAAUAACAUCAAAGGGAUAGUCUGGAAUUCCCUUUCUGAUUCUGCUGCUAACCAACUGAAUAAUCUCAGCAUGCCCAUAAAGCUGUCUGAGCCAAGUGCUUGUGGGAGAUUAAACAGUGGGCUGUGUGCUCAUUUUUUUGGUAUUUUUUUUCUUUCUUCCUUUUUAUAAUUAUUAUUAUUAUUAUAUAUUAUUAUUAUAUUAUUAUUUUAUAAUUAUUAUUAUUAUUAUUAUUAUUAUUAUUAUUAUGUAGUAGGGAUUGAACCCAGGGGUGCUUAGUCACUGAGUCACAUCCCUGGCCCUUUUUUUAUUUUUUAUUUUGAAACAGGGUCCACUAAAUUGUUGAUCCUAGCUUUAAACUUGCAAUCCUCGUGCCUCAGACUCCAGAGCCCUGGGAUUACAAUGUGAGCCACAGCACCUAGGCAUGUGUUUAUUCCUUAACAGCAGUGACAUAUCUCACAGGCACAGUUAUUAGAACUGCAGUUUAAGGUUCAGGAAUGAGCCCCUUGAUUCUAUCCUUACACAUAGAUUUCAAUACCCACUAUUUAGUAGACUUCACUCAGGGUUUUCCAGUUCAAUAUGUCAGUUUAUUUAAUAUCUUAAAUGAGCCUUUUGAAAACUCCCUGAUAGGCAGUAUCCUUUUACUGAAGAUUAUCUUCAAGAAGUUCUAAUGUGUAUGAUAUUAAAAUAAUAACAUUGAUAACUGUGCACGAAUGAAUUUCCUUCACAAGAUAUCUGAUGCUGUCCUAGAUGGUUAUCAAUAACCUUGAAAAAAGGAAGAAGUUUCUAUAGGAAUGUGAUUGAUUACAUAAAUUAAGUUAUAAGGGGACUUGGACAUGGGGCACAAUGCCAACUAGAAGGUUCAUGAUGGAAAUAUCUGAGUGUGGAUAUGACAUAAUAUGUUGAGAGAGAAUUUUCAACAUUAUGCAUUUAAAGCAGUAAGCAAUUGUAUAUUUUUAUUUGUAUUUUUAAAUAGAAAAAGUGUAUCCAUUGCACUUUGUUUCAUGCCCAAUUUUUACUAUUCCUCUUAUUGCUGUAUAACCAAUGAUGCACAUGACGUCAGCUCUGGUACUGACUCAUGGUAGGCAUACAUAAAACAUUUAAAUUUUUAAAAAUAACAAAUAAAUAAGUGAAUAAUACUAGAAUCAGUGUAGCAUCUCCAUCUAUAGUCUAUAUGGGUUUAAAAAAAUACAGCAGGAAGUUCAGUAAGAUAUGCUUAUAAAACACCUGCUUUUCAACGCAUGUUAUAAAGAUUCUAUUCUGCCCCUUCUCUCCCUCCUUCCUGGAAUUGCUUUUAUUUAUUUAUAGUCUACUUGAAUUAAGGGGCUAUUUCUGCCCCAGCAGGUCUUCCCCCCCUCCCACUUCGUUCAUUGCUUUGCUUCUAUACAAUUAGAAAUACAGGAGUUACAUCAUUAUUUAGUAUACAACAUAGUACUAUAAAUUCUAUGUUAGAUACCUAGUUAAAGAUAUAGGGGAAUGAAGACUUGUGUCAGCACUCAUUAAGUAUGGGUGAACAUCACACUAAUAUCCCAAUGAGAUUAAAGAAAAUACUUUUAAACCUUCCCAUUGUGUCACUGUAUGUUAAACUCUUCAAAUGAGAGUAGUUCACAGGUAGGAUCGAUCUAUCUAUCUAUCUAUCUAUCUAUCUAUCUAUCUAUCUAUAAUCAUCUAAAUCUUUAUAAAGAUAAGUGAUUUUUCCACUUCAUGAAAUUUAAAAUAACAAAGUGAGUAUUAUCACCAUGAAUGAUUAUGUUAUGCUAAAGGACAACGGAAAGCUUCAGUGAAAACUGUACAUGCAUUCAAAAAAAACUUGUAAGUGUUUAAAAUACACUCUUAUCCAAGUCCCACUUUUUAAAAGCAUUGCAUGAAUUGCAAUGUGACCCCCAAGGCCAUCUCACUAAUCUCGCCUUAUCCAAUAGAUCUUGUUUGAGAAUUCCCUUGAAAGGAACGAAGCAUGUCAGAUAAAUUAAAUGAAAGGAACAGAUGUAGAUUAAGAGUGAUGUACAUUCUAAACCUGAACUUUUAAUUUCACUAAAUAUUAUUUUCCAAUCUUCAUGAUCACAUUAUAUUGAAAUGUUGGAACUUCAAUUUCCUCUACUAUUUCAUUUAAUAAAACCCAGGUCUCCUCUGAGCUCUUAAGGAGAUGUUAGCUUUAAAUCACAUUGACUUCACCCUUUGCAAUUUACAUAUGUUGAAGAAAUAAAAGCCUUUUCAAGAGUCACCAUGGGGCCUGAGAGGCCUCAAAGGAGUAUUAAGACCUUGAGUUUUAUGUAAGCUGCCUCAAACACAAACCACAAAUCCUCCCUGUGGAAUACUAAUGGCUUUUGUGUACAGUUACAAUUCCUUGUGAUUUUUUUUAAAGUUGUGGAGCAGCCCGUGUAUAAAACAGCCUCUGUGCGGGUGAUGGAGAUAUUCUAGCUCUCAGGCAAAAAGGCAUUUCCAUUUGGUGUUAUUUCAGAGUCCAGUUUAUACUGAAAUAAAUAAUGGAACCUGUAGGAACCUGGAAAAUAACACAUUGAAACUGCAAUUCGUGUUUUCUAUAAAGAUUUAUUCAAAAGGACAUUUUAGAUAUCUAAAGUAGAGUUAGGAGCUUGGUCCUUGAUAUCUAAUGGCGGAUUUACUCUAAUUUAUCUAUUUUCUCAAUGCUUCAUCUUUAUUUUUGUGAUGCUGAAGAUUAAACUCAGAGUCUCCUAUAUGUCAAGUAUCUACCCCUGAGCUACACAUCCAGCCCUACUUUAUGUUUUGAGAAUACAUGCUUUAUUUAUUUAUUUUUGGUAUCAGGGAUUGAAUUUAGGGCCACUUAACCACUGAGCCACAUCCUCAGCCCUUUUUGUAUUUUAUUUAGAGACAGUGUUUCACUGAGUUGCUUAGCACCUCAAUAAGUCACUGAGACUGGCUUUGAACUCACAGUCCUCCUGCCUCAGCCUCCUAAGCUGCUGGAAUUACAGGCGUGCGUCACCAUACUUAGCUACAUGGUUGAUUUUAAAUAUCAGCAGAACUCACAGCCAGAGCUCAAAAAGUUUGAGGAUUCUGAUUUCCUAAAAUGACCUCUGUUCUGUCUUUAUAAGAGAUCUUUCUUAUAUGAUUCACAUGCCUUUAUGUGGCCCAGGAAGGAUCAAAACAUGACGGAAAACGAAAGAUGGGGUAAGAAAUUAUCAUGGAUGUUUGCUUUGGAGUCACUCAGGGUGUCUAGCAAAACCCAGAAGUUCAUAAAAGCAACAAUGAAUAACUCAGUACGGAGCAAACAAGCCUUCAAUCUUUGUUUUCGAGUCUGGCUACACAAUGUAUUACUUCAUGAGUUAAAAAUAAAAAUGGGUAUGCCUGGGACCUGCCCUAGAAAAAUAGAAUCUAGAAUCUCCAGGGCUGCCCUGUCCAAUACCAUAGCCAUUGGCCAUAUGAUACCAUGCCAUACUUGAAAGGUAGUUACUCUGAACUAAGAUGUGCUGUAAGGGGAAAUUACACAUUGGAUUUCAAGUAUUUACUCUGAAACUGACGGACAUAAUGACAAAGACUCUCUUCGACCAAUCUUUAAACACGCUCCCCUGAGCUCUCUUUUCAAUUGGACCUUGUCCUUGAGUCCUGUCCUUUAGAACACCAAGCCCAGCCUUAAUAAAAAUUCUGCUAAGUUAGUUUAGCAAGAAUCCCUUCACCCUUGAUAGCUUCAUAUCUGCUCAAGUUCACCUUCCACCCCUGCUUGUCUAAGUCCCUGAAUUCCUUGAGCAAGAAUCCUGUUGAACCAGUUUGGCAAGGUUUCUCCUCCCCCCUGAUGUCUCCUGUUAGAAAUUGUUAAUCCACUGACCCUUUCCUUCUGCUUAUUGGCAUUCUCAUCUGUCCUUGCUCUAUAAAGAGUUGAACUCAGGCUGUCCUCUAGUCUUGAAAGCUACCUCUCCUGCUGUCUUGGAUGAGUUUCCAGUGAAUAAUUUGUCUUUAAUAAUACAAACAAAUAUAAAAAUGUCAAUGUUUCUUUAUGGAUCAUAUGUUAAAGACAAAUACAUUUGGGCUAGGUGUAAUGGCAUACACCUAUAAUCCCAUCUAUUCAUCUACUUGGAGGCUGAGGAAGGAGGAUCACAAUUUUCUACGCCAUCCUAUGCAAAUUCAUGAGAACCUGUCUCAAAAUAAAAUUUAAAAAGUACAGGCCAUAGAGCUCAGUAGUAGAGUGUUUGCCUAGCAUAUACCACCACCACCAAACAAACAAAUGAAAGGAAUAUAAUUAAAAUAUAUUCAAUUAAACAAAUUGUAUGAUAAAAAUUAAGACCUUUUAAAAUAAGGUAGAUGAUCACAUAUAUAACCUUUAUUAUAUUUUUAUUAGUUAGUCCUCCUCUAGGAGUCAUGCGUGGGCACCAAUAAUUCAGAACACAUUCCAAGUGAUUAGAUGUGCUCUCAGGAUUGUGACCCUUAAUAUUUAAUCAAAUUAACUCAGGAUAAAAACAUAAUAGAUAUAUUGUACAAAUAUUGUAGAUCUUACUGUAUGACAGGCCUGAUGUGAGCUUCAUGCUUAAACACUUGAAAUAACAGCACUCUAUAGUAAAUUCCAUUAUUACUCACAAUUUAUCCAGGGCAAAAUGAGGAGCAGAGAGAUAAAGUGUCUUGUCCAAGAUGGAGAGGAGUCAGGACUCAAAGUCAGGGUAUAUGACUCGGGUUCAUGUUGUCUUUUAUUUUUUAUUAUUGGAGGUACAGUCCUCACAAGCCCCUUACCUGUAAUUUCACUUUCCAUUUUUUCCAGUUACAUGCAGUCAACAUGGUCUUAAUAAUUCAAUGAAACUUUUCAGAAAUAAACAAUUCAUACAUUUUAAAUUAUGCACUAUCUGAGUACCAUCAUGCAAUCUCACAUUAUACUAGUCUGUCCUGUUCAGGACAUGAAUUAUUACUCUGUUCAGCACAUCCACACUGUGUAUGGUACCCAUCCACUACUAAUGUAAUAGUCAUAUCAGUCACCAGAUGGACCAUCAUGCCAGCAGUGCUGUGUUCAAGUAACACAUUUUACUUAAGAAUGCCCCCAAAGUAAUCAUGCAAAGAAGGCACCAACACAUAUAACAUGAAAAGACAAAUUAAUUCUGGCACUAGAUGGUAAUGCUGCUGGGAACACAGGAAAAAAAAAUAGUAUACAUAGGGUUUGGUGCUACCCAUUGUUUUAAGCAUCCACUGGGGAUAUUGCAACAUACUCCUUGCAUAAGAGGGAGGACUAUUAUAUUCAAGCAAAAGCAAAGGUUAUGUCCAAAUGAUUUUAUAUUUGAAAUACCAGUAUUAAUAAAAUCAUUAUGAAAUAUCAUAAAUUGAAUACUUUUUUAUAUUUGAAUGAUUUUUGAAGCCAUCAUAUAUAUACACAUAUAUAUGUGUAGAUAGAUAGAUAUACAUACAUACCAGUUUUACAAUCCCAAGAAGCAUGUGGAUGGUGUUACCAUCCCCAUUCUAUCCAGAAGGAGACAAAUCCUCAAAUAAAUUAAAUUUGUCUCAAAUUCAUAUCAAAUUACUUUUCAUGUAUGUCUCCUCUAAAGGAUUGUCUAGGUAGCUUUCUCAAUUUUCUGACCUCCUUCACAUUACAGCAAUGAACUAUUUCAGGAAGCUCCUUUACUUGAAGUAUAAUCCAUAUUUUCAUCUGACUUACAUCAUAUGACUUAUUGACAAGGGAGCUAUUGAGAUGGCUAGUUCAGGGAUUAGUAUUUGAAUCUUUGCUAUGGUGUUACUUCAAGUAUGGCUUUUGGCUAAGAACGUGGAAAAAGGUGAUGGAGUUGUCAAAUACAAAGAUCAAUCUAUAAGAGAAUGUACACCAAAGCAUUCUCUUCAAUGCCGUUUGUUAAUAGGAUAUUUUCUUAAUUCCUUUAAAGAAAAGUCCAUGUGGGUUAGCAUCAUAAAUCUUAACUCAGAAAUAGUAACUAUGCCAGGAUUUCCCAUACCUGCCCCAAGGGUUGAGAAUAGAAAUAAAAUUAUGCUUUAGAUGACAGUGUCAUUUGCAGAGUAUUAUUAUAAGGAUAUCCUGAUAUGUUGAUGGUCUUUAAAAUAUACUUCAUGCUGCAUUGUAUUCAGUUAUAAGUAGUUGCAUUGAGAGUUCAAUGGAGAGUGAGAGGUUGGUUGGUUGUUUUGUGUACUAAUAGCAUUCCUCUCUGCUUUCGUUCUCAGCACUGCCCUUCAUUGUCUUAAUUUCAAUUGUCCACGCUACACUCAUAUCAGUACAGCUAGAUAUUCCUCCUUGCAGACAGGAUUAUUGAACUAAACGGGAAAAGGAAGAGACCAAAUGCUGAAACUAACGAAGCAUCAGCUUUGGCAUCAGUAAGCCAUAACUUACUGACUCCUGAGAGACCUUAGGCACAGAAUUCAACCUCUCUUGUUUUAAUUUUAUCAUAUGAGAAGUAAAGAAAAAUGCAUUAAUUUUCUGUGUGUAGGAAUUAAGUGAGAUUUGAAAAAAAAAGUUAUGGAACAUAUUGUCUAGAUAAGAGUCGAUAGUCAAUAAAAGUGCAAAUUCCAUUUGGCCUUUUCUUUCCUUCUAUGCAUAUGAGAAAGAAUAGAUCUUACCAUAUCCACAAACUACUCACAUAAAUACACACAUGUGCACACACACACUUGGAUCAGGUAAGAAUGGUCCUAGUCUGUGCCCUUCUAAGAACAUGAACCAGUAGUUCUCAAGGGUUCUGAGAAAAAAAUUUCCAACACUUGCAAUAAGCUCUAAUCCCUUAACCCACAGAUGAUCCAUAUUCUGAGUUUCCGUCCAAAACCAAAUCUCCUUCACUCCUGCCUGCCACACCUUGCCUCACUCAUCAGAUAUGCUGAAACACACUGCAGUCCCUGAUGCAUUCUAUGAAAGAGGGUUUUAACUCCUGAUUAUUCAUCCCAGGGGAGAACUAUUUUCCUGAAGUGUGCAUUCUUCUGUAUGUCUCCUUUGUCUUUUACGUAUAAAUUCCCUCUAUGGUCAUAGUAGUCAAUUUAUGCUAACUCCCCUUAACAUUUGUAACUUACAGAUUCCAUGCUGAAUUCUGUCAGGAAAAUUCGUUAGAAACUAAGAUUCAGAACAGGGAGCCCAUGAGCCUAAUAAAUCAGAAAAUAUUAACCAUUUCUUUUCCUUUCAAAUAAUUUCAGAAGUGCACUUAAGACCAACCUUCUCUGUAUGGUAGAGAUGCAAGUUGUCUACAGAUCUAAAUCUUUUGUUGAUAGAGAAUUUUAAACAGGGAUAUACAUAUUAUUUUCCUGUCUCCUUUCUGAAAUUUAAUCUCACUUGUGCUGGCUGGUUGUCGGGAUGGUGUAGUCUGAAGAUUAUUGAACUAAACAGGACAAGGAUAAGACCAAAUGCUGAAACUGCUUUUAUUCUCAGCACUGCCUUUCAUUGUCUUAAUUUCUAUUUUUUUUUGACGUCACUGGACCCUAAAUUUGCUGACUCCUGAGUGACCUUGGGCACAGAACUCAACCUCUCCCACUUUAAUUUAAUCAUAUGGGAAAUUAAAAAAAGGCAUUAACUUUCCUUUAAGCUGUCAUUUCCUAAAGGUUCUACUGGAGUGUCAUAAUCCACAUUGACCUCAAUCAAAUGUCUGUAGGUUAGUAUUUGAGGUUGGAAGAGUCACAUUUUCUAUGUUGCUCCUAUCCAUGUGGCUUCUCAGCAUUCAAUAAUCUAGCUCAGGAUUUUUCACAUGAUCAUGGUGGAGUUUCAGUUACAUCUACAAUGAGAUUUCAUUGGAAUGGGUGUUCUUUUCACGUGAUCUCUUUCUUUUUCUCACCUCCUGGAAACCAGACAUGAUGAUGUAGAAGAUGCAAUUGGCCUGUGUGUACCUUAUCCAUAACUAAAAGAUUAUCUAGUCCCUUGAAAACUUAUGAGGAAUUCAAAUAACCCAGUGGCAUGACCUAGUCAACUCAGGUCAAUUGUUUAAGACACAUAAAUAACUCUUUUCUUCUUUAAGCUGCUGUGUUAUUGAGUCUCCUCAUACUCCUGAAAAAGCACGUGGAAAACAAAUCCAACGUGAAUUCUUGAGUGAGCAACAUAAAGAUGAAACAUAUUAAGUUCAAAAAUUACAGUGUCUAUAACCUAAAAAGAAAAUGUAAAAUAGACACAUUACAAUCAAUGGAGUCCAAAUAGGAGAUGUUUCAGUCAAAUAUCCCAUUACAAAUUAAGGGGUUUAAAACAAAAUGGACAAACCACUAAUGCUAUCUCUAAGGAUGAAAACUAUCCAUGGGAGGUCUUACCUUGAUAUGAAACACCACAACUAUGAAUAAUGAAAUUAAAAAGCCAAUAUAAUGACCUGGGUUAUAAGUUCGUCUUAUGGAAAAUACAAAAUUACCGUCUUCACUCUGAAACCUUAAUGAGAAUAUUGAUUAUUAAAUGAAUUGUACCAUUUUCUUUAUACUUAUUUGUAUAUACCGCAUGGGCAAUUGCAAUUUCUGUGUUUUACAGGAUACUUGAAGUGGGAGAGUUAAGGGAUAACAUUUGAACAUCCCAUAAAACUUGAAUCCUCCUUCUCUGAGGGAUAAUUACCUGUGGUUAUUGAGUACAAUUUGCUAGAAUGUUGUUAGUGUUUUUAGUUGUUUUAGAAAUAGUCUCAAAGCUGUUCCCAGGAAGGUAAGAAAUAGGGAAGAGAUGGGGGGUCUCUCCUUUUUUGACAGUAAUAGAAAUUUCUAAUUCAUUCUCCAGAGGCCAAAUAUGUUAAAUCUAGCCAAAAUUAAUAUCUUAUAAUCUAUUAACUAGGAGAGUGUCCUGGGGGGGGGAAUAAUACAUAUUCAUAUUUUUUUUUCUGGAAGGAGAAUGUGAGAGUUUUAUUUAAUGGUGAAGCUAGCCGCAGAUACAUAUUGUCCAAAAAACAGAAAGAACCAUGUUUUACUGACUGUGCUAAAGACCCUCAUACACUAUUUUGAAAUUGAGUUUUCUUCAUUUGGAAGUGGUUCCAUGGUUUUAAAUUCCCGUUUUCUCACCCAUGGUGUUUCUUAUUAACUCCCCCCCACCCCAUUGUGCUUGCUCAUUUAAUUAUCUCACCUUCUCUCCUGUGUUCCAGUUUCUAAUAGGUUUUCUUUUCACAGCUCACUGGGUACCCCAGAGUUUCUGACAAUAAAAGAGUUGGGCUUCCGCUUAAAGUGUACUAGAGCUGGGAGGGACUCAGGGAUUCUCAAUUGGGACCCCCCUCAUUCUGUUCUCCAGAUCAUGAAAGUGACGUGCAAGAUGGGGAUAGCUCUGUCUAAUGUCAUUAAAUAAUGUGUGCCUGAGGGAGGAGCAGAUUCCAGGGCCCAGCAGGAAUCAUCAGCAGAGACAUGUUAUCAGCAUGAAGCCUCCACUGGCUUUUCCUUUCUGAGUUAACACGGCCCUGAAUGUAAUAUUUCGCAACUCUCCAAUAUGAACACUCAAGAGAAGCAAACGCUUCCCUCAUUUUAAAGAACAAUUCCCAGUACGUUAAAAUGAUUAGAAAAUGAUGACUAAAAACAAAAACAGAGGACGACUUUUCCUCUUUGUGACCUUGGUUGUCAUUUAUUCUUACCUACUCAAAUCCUAUCCUCAGGAGAGCUACACCUAACAAUCUAGAAUGAUUUCUUCUUUUCUGUAAUUCCUAGAACAGAAGGAACCAUUCACUUCUUGUGUGGCAGUGAAGUGAGAAUUUUUUUCUCCCUUCUAAAAUGCUUUUCAGUUUCUCUAGAUUCUUCUUUGACUUUUCAUCCAUAGACAGUCUCUUCCCUUGAGCUGGAAGCCAGGCCUUGUGUAAGGUAUUGAUUUCUCCAUAAUUCAUGAGUGGAGGAAGCUGACAUUGGUUGAGUACUUAUUAUGUGCCAAGAAUUUUAUGGAUAUAGUUUAAUUUAAUCUUUAUGAAAACCCUUGAGAUAGGACUUAGUACCCCCACUUCACAUAAGAGGAAAACUAAAGCACAAAGUUGAGAUGAGAGAACUCCUCUAGGGCUGGGGUUGGGGCUCAGUGGUAGAGUGCUCACCUAGAAUGGGUGAGGACCUGGGUUAGAUCCUCAAUCCUCAGCACCACAUAAAAAUAAAUAAAAUAUAAAGAUAUGUCCAACUAAAAGAUAAAUAUUAAAAAAGUAACUCUUCUAAGAACUAAAAUUUAGUGAACAACAGAACAGUCAUUUAAACCAACCUCAUCUAUCUCCCAACAGUACUGCUUUUCCUAAUUCUGUCAGCAUUUUGUCUUUACAGUUUGUCAUACUCUAGGAGAUUAAUGAACUCUUAACUGUAAGAAUACUUACAAUUUUUAGAAUUUAGAAUGGAUGCAUAUAUAUGUGUGUGUGUGUGUGUGUGUAUAUAUAUAUAUAUAUAUAUAUAUAUAUAUAUAUAUCCUCAUUCAUGACUGUAAACUGUAAGCUUCUAAGCAAGCUGAAUACUUACAAAUGCAGUCUUUAAAGAAUUGAUUUUAUUUUUUGGUCAGUAUUUCUUUAAAAAAAUACUUACUAUGAGCAGUAUCUAUGUGUAUAGUACAUAUCUAAUUUAUGUGUUGAAAUGGAAGAAUAUGCUCAAACCAGGAUGCUAGCCAGUUCUCAGAGAAUCUACCAGUUAUUCCAUGCAUUGCCUAAAAAUAGUUUUCAAUGCAAGGGUUAACACAAAAAACUAUAACAAAGACAGUAAGUGUAGCAUUUUUUUUCUUAGAUAUGAGAAGGGCCAUUUAAACAAGAAAUAAUUUUAACCAAGAAAAUGAACCUAAUAUAUUGGCAAAGUAACUCUUAAAAUGGUCGUGUUCUGCCAGCAGACAUUGUGACUGAUUGUGACAUACAGACAACAAACAUGAAGCUUACAAAAACAUAAUGUUCUAAAAUAGAACCAUUUAAAAACAAAUCUUUGUUGUUAUCUACCUAACCUCAAGCAUGCUAGAUAUUCCGAAGUAUGUUCAGACAUAUCAUUCUGUUAAUCUUAUUUUAUUUUAUUUGGUAAUGGGUAUUGAGCACAAGGGAAUAAUAAAUUAUUAACCAGUGAGCCACAUCUCUAGCCCUUUGCAUUUUUAUUUUGACACAGGGUCUCACUAAGUUGCUAAGGCUGGCUUCAAACUUGCAAUCCUCCUGCAUCAGCCUCCUGAGUCCCUGGAAUUACAGACAUCCACCAUGGUGUUCAGCUCAUCCAAUAAUCUUAAAAGUUGUGACAAUUUAUAGCCACCUCUAAAUAUUUCUGCAAAUGUGUUUACAUUUGAAAGCUGGAAUAACCUAGGCAGAGUUGCGGGACUUUUUCUAGGAGAAGAAAUGAAGUCAAGAGGAAGAUUCAGAAAAGAGGUUCAGUAUGUAAGGCAAAGCUUAGUUAAUCACAUGUUGAACAACAUUUUAGAACAGAGGAAAGAUUAAAUCAAUCAAUCCAGGGAUGAUUCCUAAAACACAUUUUUUAACAUCAAUUUAAAUGAUCAUGAAUUAUUUUAUUUCAUAUUUAGUAGCUGGGCAUGAGAAUAGUGGCAGUGGAAAUGCAAACAAAUCCAAUAAACAUUGCCCAUCUUUAGCAAACAGCAUUAGGGAAUGCAUUCAGAAAGUGUUGCACAUUAUAUUACCUGUCUCAUCAUGUUUAAUAAUUGCAGUAUCAGAGGUUGUCCAGUAUUUAAGAAUAGAAAUAUAUAUGCAAAUUAUUAGAGUUUUCUUAAAAUCACAUUAAUAAUAGUGGCUUGUCUAUAUACAUAAUCCAUUAAUAUUCAAUGACAAUGAUUGAUAGUAAUGUAUCAUAUCAUAAUGCCAUACUUCAUUAAAGAGAUUUUUAUUCUCCCUAUUCUCUAACAAAUAUUUCAAUAAUUUAUUUAUUAAUAAAAUAUCUUGCAUAAUACAGGGACCAGAUCUAAGAUGAUAUGAACAAAUAGCAAGUGCCUUUGCAUGAUGGACUUUCCGUCUAAAUCAAGACCUUUCUGAGAAAGGUGGGAGCUGAAAGAGAGGCCUCAAGCCUCAAGAUAGUAAUAUUAAGGGAAGCAGUUUGAGGAGAUGAUGUUUUAAUACUGAAUUACAUUUGUUUAUUUAGCUACUUUGCAGUAAUACCAUUUGUAUUCAAAGAGAGAUGCCUUCGUAAUAUUUUACAUAUAUUGUUAACUUUCUACAGUUGUAAAAAUAUCAUCACUAAUAGACUUUGUUCCACUGCACUGAUCUCUGCCUGCAUCUCAGAGGAAGAACCUAGCCAAGAGCCAGCAUUGGACAGAUACUUACUAGGUCUGAAUUAGCACAUGAACUCUGGGAUUACCUAAGUCAAUAAUUUACCAUGCUCUCGGGGCACUCACAGCCUGGGGCACCCCACAAAGUGAGUUGAGAGCUUAUUCCAAGAAGAAAUUGCAUCCAUCUUAUGUAAACUUUCCCAGCCGUCACCUCUCAGCAUGCCACACUCUGCAGUGACAUUCACUCAGUUGUUCUCAGGGUGUGCAAUGACUGUAUACUAGAAGCAAUCCUGGACUGCUGAGUUCUGUCCCUCAGAACUUCCUUCUUUCCUUCUACUUUAUUUUCCUCCUCUUCUUCCCUCUCCCUCUCUCUUUCUUGCUGUCCUUCUGCCAUCUCCUCCUUUGUCUCUUGUCCUUUCCUCUUUCCAUUCUUUUCGAAUGCAGAUAUUUAUGGAUAAAACAUAGCAUGAAUCCUAGAAGCUCAGUAUUGCUGAUGCUGACACACGACAACUCAUACAACAAAGUUGUGUAUCACUGACUCAUAAGUUAUGAAUAGCAGUUUGAAUGCCAACAGAAAAGGUAGAAAGAUGAUAUUAGAAAAAAAAAUAAAUUCAUCAAUAUUCAAUGGCCAUCACUUGAAUUCUUAAGCUCUCCUUCCACAAGGAAAUAAAACUGCCUAUUUGAAACACAAAGGAAUAAAUAAACAUAAUCUGAGUGAUAGGUCUGAUAAAACAGUCGGUUUGUGCCAAUGUCUGAUCCUAAUUCUUGGACCCCGCAUCACUCCAUAUAGUGGGUGAAACAUGACCAUAACUAUGUAUUGUUUUCUUGUGUAUAUUUGUAGAAUUUUAAUGUAUAUUCCCAUUACCAUAGUAAGCAUAUGUUCAGCAUAAUUUUAAAUAAAAGUGAAAAUGACAUAUUUCCAGAGUGGUUUAUUGAUAGCUGUCUUCCUUUAAAAAUAAUUCCAAGAAAUGUAUAUUUGAUCCAUGCAAGUCUAGUACAUAAUAUAUAAUAAUAGUUGUGUGAGCGAUUUCUAUAGUUAAGCAUUACCUACUCUUCUUGAUUGAUUAAAAUAGCAGCAGCUACCAGGAAUACCCUGCAGACCAUCCAAGUUUCUGUUGUUGGUGGUAUUUUUUUUCUAUUCCAAAAGAUGUUUUAUGUUUUUUUUUUUUAAUAAUUAUUUGGACGGAAAGUAGAAGAUGAAUCUAAAUAGUACAUUAUUUCAAGACCAUAAAGUUAUUUAUAAAGUAUUGGUAUCCUAUCUUAGUCAUGAAAAGCUUAGACAGUCAUAAAUCAUCUGGUCUUUGGAUCAAUGAUUUUGUUGCCAGGAACUCACAUGAUAACAUUAUUUUUACACAAUGAUACAUUUAUAGAAACAACAAGAAUUAGAAAUUACAUUGUUAAGAAAAAGUGACAAUUUUUUAAAAUUUAUAUACCAUAUUAAUUUCUCUGUUUAAAGAUAUGAAAAUCUUUGAGAAUUAUGGCAUGGAAAUUCUAGGAAUAGUCUCAUAUCUACCCUCAAAAAUAUUAACCACUCUAUUCCCAGAAAUGGGUUUUAAAUGACUCUUGGGCCUAGAUUGACUGUUGAGUAUUGAAUCAUAAUAUGUACUUCACAAAAGAACACUGAAGUUUAGGACACUGUGGUCCAGAUCACAUCAUAUUUGAUUGUUUCAAGGCCAUCAGUUUGUAACUAUGUUAACAGUUAUUUUACUCAGUGAAAUGUAAUAAUGCAAAAAUCAGUAGAAUAAUGAAACAUUCUAAUUGCAGCAACCCUGGACUGCUGAGUUCUGUCCCUCAGCCUCCCUCAGUCUUCUGCAAGGACCAAAUCAGCAUUAGUUGAACUUCAGUGCUCCAAGCAACCAGUUUGAGAUCCAAUAGUGCAGAUUAUAGUGUAUCCACAGGAGUUUGGGAUAAGAUUAUAACACUCCUUUCCACAUGGUGGUGUCAAGUAUUUUCUGGCCAUUUAAAUUUAAAAUAAUUAAAAAUUGAGAUAAAAUUAUAGUUUUGUUGCCUUGGUGGCAUGUUAACUGUUCAGUAGCCACAUGUAACACAAGGAUACUGUGUUAGACAUCAUGCAUAAAGCACAGCUCUAUCACAGAGAGUUCUUCAGACAGCAAAGUGAGCUUUACAACACAAAAAACCUCUUACUUAUCAGCGCAUACCCAGCACUUAGCACAAGCCAUAGCCCAUGCACGGGAGAUUUAUUGGAGAAAGCAGGUACAUAGCUAUAAAUACUGUGUGUGCUCCAAGGAAACAAGUAGGGAAAUGCAUCCAAAGCUUGACCUGUAUGACCUUAAAAGGAUUUUUCUAAAUGAUGCCAAAUUAAUGGGUGGGGGUGUAAAAAUGUGUAGUUGUCUAUAUUUAAACCUGCUAGAGUUAUUGGGAAAAGACUGUAGGUCCCUGUUUGCCUAGAAUACAAUAUAUACAUACAUAUAUAUAAAAUAUAUUAUAUAUUAUAUACAUAUAAUGUAUAUAGACAUUAUAUAAUAUAGAAUAUUCUGUAUAGAAUAGUCAUUAGAUAUAUUCUCUAUAUAUAAAGAAAUAUAUAUAUAUAUAUAUAUAUAUAUAUAUAUAUAUAUAUAGAGAGAGAGAGAGAGAGAGAGAGAGAGAGAGAGAGAGAGAGAGAGUAAUCUAGGGUCUCAGGAAAGGCAGUUCAAUGUGCCUAUUUCCCUGAAACUCUGAGUAUGCAAAUGUAACACCUUUAAGCAUUUUCUCUGCCUCAUACACAUUCUGUUCAACCACAUUGGCAGCAGGUGGCUUUAGCAGUGUUUCUCAGGUCAUUACUCUAAAGACUGUUCUGUUUUUACAACAUCUACUUUUACCCUUAUCACUUCAACUGUGCCUGUGUUCAGAUGCUUCUGCUGAACUCCAGAUUCCUGCUACCUAUAGGACAGCAGAGCUUGCCUGAUCUUGGCACCUAGAAGGCAGGGCAGAGGGCAAGUCUGCCUUAUUCAAAAAUGUGUAUUUGACUGACAGGUCUUGUGAUGUACUCACACAUGUUUUUUGAACUCACUAAAACUAGUACUUUCAUCUUCUUUGUAUUGAUUGCUUUCCCAUCAAACUUAAAAGCUCAUAGUAAACCAGGUAAAGAGUUUCCAUAAUGGGUCAGAAAAACAAAACCAAAUAAUCAAAUAAAACUGAAAGCUACCUACUCCAAAUCAUUAAGUUGAGCUCAAUAUUUUGUUGUAAAAAAAGCAACAACAUCAACAACAAUGAAAGCAACAAUUAUUUUGUCCAAAGCAGGAGAGAAAAAUGGGAACAGAAGAAUUCAAGGAUGGAACCUAGAGAAAGGAGUGGCUUUGUUGUAGACAUGGAAUUCUAUUUGCAGCACAUUCUCUGGUGCUUCAAUCUGGAUUGCUCACUGGUGAUAUUAUGUGGUGUGAUAUCUGGAGCAGUGCAUUGAGAAGAAGCUGCAGAUGGACAAAUGCAUGUACUUUGUUAGGACAUGAAUAUAAACAGCUACAAAAAGCCCCAGCAAAUGCAGAAUAGUGUGUCUCUCCAAUGCUCCAUGGGACCUCAAAUAUCUCAUUUAACCAUAGAUAAUUUACAUUCUCCAAUGGCCCCAGGGUAAUAUAUUCUCACUGAACUAGCAUUUAUGUAUCUUUAAAAUCCAUAAAGCAGAUUAUAACAUAAAGGCCAUCAUUUCAUAUUAAAAAGAGUAGAAGAGAAUUCCAAAUGUCUUGCCAUGAACUAAUAAGAUGAAUGAAAUUUGGAGUGGCAUUAAGCUAAAUUACAUAGAGCUUAAAGCUCAGAUAUACGAGAAGUUAAAUCUAUUACUUUGGUUUCUAUAGAUCUCCAGUACUCAUACCAAAAUGAGAAGGUAAAUCCUUGCCGUAUUUGUUAUAGUUUUUCCAUUGUUCCUUCUUGUUCUUUUCUCAGGAUCAUGCAGUUGAAUGGCAACAAAUCUACUUUCUUUCAAAGUCAAAAUGAUUUAGCCUCUAGCCACACAAAAGCAAAAUGAAUUUUAGCAGAUCAGUGAGGUCUAUAGAGAGUUUUUCACAACUAAAUACUUCUAAACAUUUAAAGAAGAAUUAAUACCUAUUUUUUUUUUUACAAAUUCUCCUCGAAAAAUACAAAAAGAAGAUAAACUUCUCAAUGCAUUUUUAAAGACAAUGUCAUCCUAAUACCACAACCAAAGAUGUCACAAGAAGACAACUAGCCAAAAAGAUUUUUUUAAAAAUAUGGCAAGAAUAUAUUAAGCACAAUGUUAGUAAACCCUAAUCAGUAGCAUAUAAACCAAAUUAUAUACUAUGAGCAAGUGAGAUUUAUUCCUGGGAUACAGUGUUGAAUCAAUAUCCAGAGGUCAGUUCAUUUAAUAUACUAAUAAAAUAAAAACAAAGUCAUAUGCUUAUCUCUGUAGAGCAAAAGAAGCCCCCGAUAUUCUCUCAUUAUAAAAAUAUCUGACAUACUAGAUAGAAAGGAAUGUCUUCAGUCUACUAAGGGACAUCUACAACCCCACAGCUAGCAUUAUAGUUCAUGAUGAGAGAUGGAUGCUUCCUCCUCAGACCAAGAACAAGUCUGAGAAGUCUUAUCUUGCCAAUUAAAAUCAACAUUGUCCUGUUAUAGUUAGGAUAAACAAGCAAGAAAAAAAAUAAAGUCAUCCAGAUUAAAAAGCAACACAUAAACCUAUCUCUAUUUAGUGACAACAUGAUCUUGUACACAGAAACUCUAAAGGAACACACGUAAACACUAUUAUAAUGUCCAAAUAAAUUUGGCAAAUGUUUAAGAUACAAGAUCAGUAUACCAAAAUCAAAUGCGUUACUGUAUACUUACAAUCAAAAAUGAAAUCAAGAAAAUUUCAUCUAUCAAUACUUUAAAAUAAUGAAAUAUUUAGGAAAUAUUUAACAAAAGACAUGCAAAAACAUACUCUAAAUACUAAAACGUGUUUAAAGAAAUCAAAGACUAUCUGAAUAAUUGUAAAAAACAGUUUAUAUUCUUGGGUCGGAAGACUUAACAUUGUUAAAAUGGCAAUACUCUCAAAAAUUGACACAGAUUCAAUUAUGUCCUCAUUAGAAUCCUAGAUGACUUCUUUUUAUAAGAAUUGACAAGAUGAUUUUAAAAUUGAUAUGGAAUUGUGAGGGACCGAGAAUAACCAAAACAAUUUUGCAAGAAGAACAAAAUAGGACUCGAACUUCCUUAGUUAAGUUUACUAUGAAGCAGGGGUAAUCAAGUCAGCAGAAUACUGGUCUGAGAAGAGACGUACACAUAAAUGGAAUAGAACCAACCUAUUCCAGAAAUAAACCCACAUAUCUAUGGUCUAUCAGUUUUGGAUAUGGUACCAAGAUCUUUCAAUAGGUAAAGAAAUAUUUUGAGCAAAUGUUGCUAAGAAAACAGUAUAGCUACCUGCAAAACAAUGAAGUUGAACCUUCAACUCCAAUCAUGUAUAAAAAUGUUACUGAAAAUAAAACACACAUAUAAAUAUUACAGACAAACACAUACAAUGUUUACAAGAAAGCAUGGGGGGAAAUCUGCAUCACUUUGAGCUUGGCAGAGGAAUCUUUUAUAUAACACCAAAAUCAGGGGGAACAACAACAACAAAAAGAUGAUUGUAUUUAGUCUAAAUUAAAAUCUGUUGUGAUUGAAAUAAUCCUAUCAAGAAAAUGAGUGAAAAGACAACCCACAGAAUGGGAGAAAAUAUUUGCAAAAUAUUUAAAAAUUAUAUAUCUGAUAAGACACAUGUAUCCAGAGUAGUUAAAGAAUUCUUGUUAUAGUGAUAGUUGUACAUAUCUGUGAAUAUCCAAAUAGCAAUGGAAUUGCACAAUUUAAAUAGGAUUAUUGUAUAAUAUGUGAAUUAUAUCUCAAUUAAAUUUUUAAAAGUGAAGAAAAAUAAAUAGUAAUUUAUACGGGAACUGGCUAACAAAAUGAUGUAGAGAUUGAUAGAACUAAAGAAAAUUUGAUAAAAAAUAAGAAUUUUAUGGAAGAAGAAGGUAACAAUGAGUCCCACUAUUAUAUGUAAUAAGGGAUAUGCCAGUCUUGCCUACUGUAGCCCCAGUUUGGAGAGGUAUUGCUCUAGGGUGUUUCCCUUGGUUGUAUAAGGAAGAGGUAAAGAAUUGCUCUCUUGCUUGUCACUAAACCUUGUCCUAAUCUAUUCCUUUUCUUCACUCUUGUCCCUCAGAUCAGUUUUUCACUAUUACAUAUAGUGGGACUCACUGUUACAUUCUUUUUAAAGAAAAAUAAUUUCUUAAGACUGUAUCAAUGAGCCCCAUUAUUAUAUAUAAUUAUAAGGUACAAUAAAAUACGGGAAAAAUCCAUAAUAAUUAUUUCUUUGGGUAGCUUUAAAUUAUAUUCCCCACACUUUUCAAACGUAGCUAACUUUUAAGAUUACAUACCCAAAUCUGUUUGGUUUUCAUUCUGGUUCUCUUUCAAUUCCAUAUGAAUUUUAAACCAUAUUGCCAAUUCCUGUAGAAUUCUUUCCCAAACCAUCAAUUUGGUCUUGUUAUGCCUCAGUUUUAUUUUAAACUUAAUAUGAAGCAAUAGCAUUAUGUACUAAAGUACAUUGCAAAAAAAAAAAUUAAACUGAAUAUAAUUUGAAUGUCUAAGUUAGGGGAAUGUAUAAUUAAAGUGGUACACUAACAUUAUUGAAACAUAUGGUAAUAUAAAAACUAUUAUUACUAUUAUGAUUCUCAAAACACAGGAUUAUUCUAAUAUAUUGGUAAAAAGUAGAAGACAAAAUUGUACAUAUUUUAUCCUUACUAUAUCAGGUGGGUAAAAUAUUUAAUAAGUAUAAUAGCUACCAAUAGUUGUGUUAGUUCUGUAUUUGAGGAUGUAAUAGAAGCUUUAGAGAUGUUAUAAAGCUAAUCACUAAGACAUUAAAUAUCAUAGAUUUUAAGCCAGGCAUGGUGGUGCAUGCCUGCAAUCCCAGAAGCUUGGGAGGCUGACGUAGGAGGAACAUAAUUUCAAGGCCAGCCUCAGCAACUUAGUGAAGCCCUAAGCAAAUUACCAAGACCCUGUCUAAAAAAUAAAAAUAAAUAAAUAAUAAAAAGGGGUGGGAAUGUUGCUCCAUGGUUAAGCACCCCUGGGUUCAAUCCCUGGUUUAAAAAAAAAGCCAUUAAUUUUAAGAUGUAUGAUCAAAUUAACAAUAACUCUUGGAAAGAAGGGAAGGAGAAAAUGAAGCAACACAUGCUAAAUUCAUGCAAAUCAAUCACAAAAUUCCUUUUGAUUUUAGAUUUAUAAUUUCUAAUCAAAAUAUCAAAAACUGCAUUUUCCUAAGUUAAUUGGGUCAGCCUUUUUUUUCCCCAAACUUUUCAUGAGGUUAAGUUAGACAGUUGUUAUGAAAGGACAUUUGUUAUGUCCUUUCAAAAUUCAUAAGCUGAACCCUUAACCUUGAAUAUGUAUGUAUUUGAGAUACAGCUCUUGGUAGAUAAUUAAGGUUAAAUGAAUCUGGUUCUAACAAUAGAACUCAUUGCCUUAUAGGACAAGGGAUAUAGAUCCUUCCUCUUCCUCUGACUCUACCUUUCCUCUCUCCUACACCACCCCCCACUACUGAGUUAAGGCUAUGUUUGAAGACAUGUUGCAAAGGCAGCUAUCUAUAAACCAGGAAAAGAGACCUUACCAGAAAUCAAAUUGACUGGCACCUUGAUUUUGAGCUUUGUAACCUCUAGAAUUUGUGAGACAUUUCUUUUAAGUCACAUGAUCUGUUGUAUUUUUUAUGGUAGCCCAUGGCUAACAUAAUUUGUACUUAGAGUUGUAAUUUUGCAGGGGAGAAGGGUCUUCACUCAGUCUUAGGACCUUUUGACAUCCUUGAUGAUUGUUCUUGUUAAAUAGGCAUCACUCCUUGUUAGAUAUGAGGCAGUGAAUUUUAUCAACUGCAUAGUCACAUAUCCAUCCAUCAAUCCAUCAUGGGGUACCAUACAGAACCACUCUCCUAAGCAUAUGUUGACAAUCUAAUCCUUAAUGUAUUCAGAGGGAUGUGUGGGAGAUGAUUAUCUUGGAGAGUGAAUAAAAUUAGUGCCCUUUUAAGAAAGACACCAGAAAGAUGAUCCCCCUUCUCAUCUUGUCUUGCUCUGUCAUGUGAGGAUACAACACAUUAUAUGUGGACCAGAAAAGUAGCUUUCACUAACAACUAAAACAGCUGGCACUUUGAUGUUGGACUUCCUAACCUCCAGAACUGGAAUAAAUACCUUUCUGUUGUUUGCACCACUUUGGCUAUGAUAUUUUUAUUAUAGCAGCCAGAACUGAUGAAGCCAUACAUCAGUUGGACAAUGUAUAUAAUAGAACUCUAACUACUCUGCUGAUUGAAAUUUCUACCUUCUAGUAUUUUUUCAGGGGAGGUGUGAGUCUACAUUUAAGCCAAACAAAAACAUCACCUUGUUCUUUGAUUUUUGUUUGCCCUAUUUUUUGAUAAGCUUGAGUUCAGGACCCCCAAAAGACCAUAAGAGACCAAGAUCGAUGUAAGUAGCAAAGAGGCAUUUAUUGCAAGCUAGCUCCAUCCUCCGCAUGCACACAGCAACUGGUGACGCUGAGAGGCCCUGAGCUCAGGGUUUGCAGCAGUUUUAUACACUCUUAGGGGAAGGGAGGGACUUUACAUACAUCAUAGUAUAUCUCAGCAAAUCAUCACACACCGCAGGAAAAUUAUAAAACAACUCUAAAACAUGAUUAGCAUAUUCACUGGUGGGAACAAGUGGGUAAGAGUGAUUAGUUAGUACAACAGGGGGAUUCAUUUGAACUGAUUGGUUUAAGCCGCUUGGGGAGUACAGAGUACAUGUUGAACUACAUAGUUUCCCAACAUGUUAUCAACCACCAUAAACUAUUGGGAGGGUCAUCUGGUAUCCCAGGCAUUUUCACUGUCUCAUGCUGAUUGGUGGCUGCUAGGAGGUUGCUAUGGGUCCUCACCUAGCCUGACUGAGUCAGGGACACCUGGCGCCACAGAUCUCUCCUGUUAUUUGCAGACAAACAACUCAGCAGGGUGGGUAUGUGCCUAGGAGUGCUCUGUGGGUUUUUCCAAGGACAAGGGCCACACCCUUUUCCUUAGACAGGCUUUGCUCUGAGGUAGAGGCUAGUUCUCAAAAAUGGAGUCACAUCAGUUUCUCAAUUUUCAUUGGCUUUUCUCUUCCUUUUUCCUUCAAUUGAAUAAAUAAAAUUAAAUACACACAAAAAAACAUACUACAGACACGCAUUCACACAUAUUCAACUUGUUGACUAAAAUUCUGUGUUACAUGAUGUACUAGUGAUUGCACUAGGCAUUUUUGACAUACCACAUUUUACCUUCAGAUAACAUUUCAUUAGGUCAUUGAUAAUGAUAGUGAGACGGGGGAUGAAAAGGACAAUCAGUGUAAAUAAUAAAUAAUUGGGUCCUAUGGGGAAGAUGGGGACAGGUUAGAAAGGAAUUCAAAUUCUAAUACCUCCAGAGCUGUCCCUCUUCUCCUCCACCUGUUGCUGUGGUAACCUGCACCCAGGGACUUUCCUUCCUUGCAAGGGGCUGUUAAUGAAUGUCACCUGAGCUGUUCUCUUUCUAUCCUGUCCAGGAUCACUCCACCUUUGAUUCCCCUUUUUGGGUCACUUAUCAUGUAGGCAGGAUGUAGGGUGGAGGGGUGCAUGAGAACCAAGGAAUUUUAAAAUGUAUGAGAGCAGCAGGACAACCCCAGUUCUUUGGAUACCAGCUCUGGAUCCCCUUCUCUGUAGAGAAGUCUAUCUCUGUUCUAUCCUUUAAAUAAAACUUGCUUUCUAUGCUUGCCUCAGCGUUUCUUGUGUGCUCAAUAUUCACAUCCUGGGAAUUGGAAGUUGGCCCUGUUUGAUUCUCCUCAUCACCAGUGGCAUCAAUAGGACCUGCUGUAUUUGGAUGCUAUUUCAGUGUGACUCCAAAAUCUUUGUUUAUUGGAAACUUGGUCUCCAGAGUGGGAAAGUUGAGCAGGUUGGAACCUUUAAAAUUGGGGGCUUCGUAGAAGUGAGGUGCUGUUCUCUUUAGGGUCAAUGUAGAUCUUUGGAGAACACAGUGAGUUCCUGUCAGAGUGGAUUUUCAUGAAAAGAGCUCUAUCUCUGCUCUCUCUGACUUCCUAUCAUGUCAUGUGAUGUGUUCUUAUCAUUGUGACUCCAUCUGCCAUAAGAGAACUUCACUAGAAUGAGCACAAGCCAAUGCUAUAUUUACAUGGUCUCAAAGCUCUCUUAAAAAAAGUCCCCAGCUUCAGGUAUUUUGUUAUAGAAAUGAAAAAACGAUUAAUACAGUACCUUACAAAUUAUGACUCCACUUCACUUUCUCUCGACAUUUUCUACUUCAGGGCAUGCAUUUUAUUUCUACACAUGUUAUAAACCUAAUAAGACAUCAACAUUGUUUUCUGUUUAAAGAGUCAACAGUAAUUAAAUGAAGCUUGAAACAUGCAAAAAUUUCCUCCUUUUCUAACUACACAUUUCUCCUUUCUCAGGCUCUUUAUUCCUUCCUGCAAACUGGGACUUCUGAUACCACAGCCCUUAAUAAUAAAGCUCUGCAAUUAUUCACGACAGAUUAUCUCAAGUUAUUCUCAAAAUAUCUUUAUUUUCCCUUCACUUUUUAAGUGUACUUUCAUUGUCUAUAGAAUUCUAGGUUAUAAUUUUUUCUAAUUUUUUUUUUUUAGUAUUAGAGAUUGAACUCAGGGGUGCUUAACCACUGAGCCACAAACCCAGCCUGUUUUCUUUUUUUAUUUUGAAACAGGAUUUCACUAAGUUUCUUAAGGUCUCUCUAAAUUGCUGAGGCUUCCUUUGAACACGUAAUCCUCCUGCCUCAGCCUCCCUAGUUGCUAGGAUUCCAGGUGUGCACCACUGCAACUACCAUGAUAUUAUUUUUAUUUACUUUCAUCACUUUGAUUUCUGUUCUACGUUUUUUCCUUUGAGGAGAAGUCAGCUGUCAUUCUUACCAUUGCUUUUCUGAUUGAAAUGUGUCCUUUUUCACUGAUUUAAAAUUUUCUCUUUCUCUUUAAUUUCUGGCAUGCUACAGAUCAUAUGACUAGAUUUCUUUAUCUUUGUGUUUGUCCUGAACGAUAUUUGCCAAGGUUUUGCUUUAUUUUUAUUGAUGCGUUAUAACUAUACCUACAUGGGAUUUAUUUGCCCAUAUUUGUUAAUGCAAGUUGCAUCACUUGAUUGAUCUCAUUCUUCAUGCCAAGGUUUGUUGUUGUUGUUGUUUGGUUGGUUUGUUUUCCUAUACAGUAAUAUAUUUCAUCAGGUUUUAAAAACAUUAGCUGCUAUCUUUUCAGGUAUUUCUUUGGAUCCAUUUCCCUUAGCUCUAAUUUGGGAACCUUACUUUGACAUUUUCUAAAACUCUUCUAUGGAUCUUGAAAGCGUUUUCUCUUUGUGUUUCAAUCUGGCCUUUUUCUGUGAACCUGUCUUAAAGUUCAGAGCUCGCUAUGGACAGACUUUAAGGUGGUUUCCAUGAGUUCCUCUUCGUGGAAUUUCCACCUUCCUGUAACCCUUUUUCUUGAGCCCGUGCGUGUGGUUGGAACCUAUGCCUUGCUUCUCUCCCCUGUGAAUAUGAUACGUGAGAGUUGUCUCCAUCGUGUUUGGGUCCCUCUCUCUCUCCAUUGAUCUCCUUCUGCCACCUCCUUCAUCCAUUGCUGGUUGCAGACUUUGAAGAAGAAAUAUGUCAUGAACCCUACACUUGUGAGGACAUUAACUGUUCAAAACCCGAGGAAUCUUGGAGGCAGAUCUUUUUCUUAGAGGAGCCAGUGAGAGCAGCUGUGUGAGUCCCUAACCUGAAGAACCAUCUAACCCACACUCCAAUUCCUGCCUCAAGGAACACAGGAGCUAAUAAACACACCUUGCUUGAAGCAGCUAUCCUGGUGACAAGUGUACAGAGCAGUAGAAAACUAAUACAAUGUCACUUUCCUCUAUUUGAUCAACAUGGUGCUCAAUUCCUCAAAUGAGUCCUUUUUUCCUGACAUCUUCUGUUUUGACUUUUAACUUUCUCCUUUUCUAUUCCAUCUGAAAUUUUUCCAUCUGUUCCUGCAUGGGAUCUACCAUUUCCUGGAUCUUUUAGUUUGUCACUUUUCAUCUGAAAUAAUCUGUGAUAAUUCUGAUAUCUGGCUAUUUAUAUGUCUACUUUUAUCGUCUAUACUCUCUUGACUUUGAAUAGAGUUUCCCUGUUUUGUUGUCUGAUAUGCAUUUUUAUUGCAUGUAAGACAGUAUGUAUACAGUAGAGACCAAAAUAUUUAUAAUUUAACUGCAUUGAGGUGUAGGGCCUACCUUGGUCCCUUUUCCUUUGAGAUGACUAUUGUGGAGACUGAGUCUAAUCUGUAAAAUGUGUGAGGAAUUUGUGGUAGUUUUGGUUAGAUUCAGUUCACUAGUGGCUAAAAUAUUCUGAAGACAGGCUCAGUGCAUCUAAUUCAACAGGGUGUCUGAUGAGCAAUGGCACGGCUCUGGGUACCUGUAUAUACUCUUCUUCAUAGAUACCCGUCUUCUGAGACCUGGAAGUCAUCCUGUUGGAACACUACAGAGCUCUCUCUCUCUCUCUCUCUCUCUCUCUCUCUCUCUCUCUCUCUCUCUCUCUCUCAUUUGGAGGCAGGUACCAGGGAUUAAACUCAGGGGCACUUCACCACUAAGCCACAUCCCCAGCCCUCUUUUGUAUUUUAUUUAGAGCCAGGGUCUCACUGAGUUGCUCAGCAUCUCUAUUUUGCUGAGGCUGGCUUUGAACUCACAAUCCCCCUGCCUCAGCCUCCUGAGCUACUGGGAUUACAGGCCUGAGCCACAGAGCCCGCCUCUUUGUUUCUUUAUUCCCCAUCAUUAACUUUCACUUUCUACACCUGCUGAUGUCUUUCUGGUCUUUUGCUCAGACACUGAAGUUACCUGGUUACUAUUAUUGGCAAAGAAUCAGUGUCCUUUUGAAGGACUACGCAUGUUCUACUACUACCCCUAACAUCCUGAUGCCCCGAGCCUUCCUUCUUGAUGAAGGAUUCUGGUGCCUCAGUUCUCUCCUUCUGUCUCCUCCAUACUUUGUGUGGCACCUUGAUAAAUUCAGUGAAGGAACAGGAGGGAGUCAGCGAGUGUUUUCAUGCUUACCCCUCCUCUGAGGUUCCUAAGUGGCCUUCAAAACUGUGACAAAACUGUGGCAUUUUUCUUCCAACUGCUCUCCACAGCACUUCCCACCAAUGUACUCGAAUGAAAACACGAGUGAAUCCCUACUUUCCUGGGAAGUUUUCAUCAUUUUAUGCAUAAACCUUAACUUUUUGAUUUUUCUAAUGUUGUUUUGUAUCAUGACCAAGUUGACACCAUGAUUAGAGUAGGAAAAAAUGCACUUUUAACUUUUCAAAGUUUUUAAUCGGAAGUAUUGAGGCAAUGCAGGAAUUAGAAACUCUAUGUGUCUAUUGCCAAAAUUGUCUCUUUACAGUACCCUAAAAUGCCCUCUACAUUUCCCAAACUCUUACUUUCAAAAAUCAAGCAAGAGUGAAGGAACAGAGGUUACAUUACCUGUACUAUUUUGAGAUAGUGAUGUAGGAUAAAAAGAGAGAUACACUGAAUUUUAAAGGAAAUGCCCUCAAGCCAUUGAGAUGCACAGUUGUAAAUCCUGAGCAACAUGCCCUUGGCCCAUGCCCUUGUAAAAUGAGGGGACACACAAGCACAGGGAACACCGGUGGGAAAUUGUGCUUUUCUGCUUGGCUCCACCUCCAAUUUGGCCCCCAAUACAAAAUCCUUCUACAAAUAUUCAAUUCCCCACACAAGUCAGGGCUGCUACUACUCUCAAUAGUCCUCAUGCUAUUAUUUUUUUUUUGUAUUUAGAGUUUUUGUAUUUAGAGUUUUUUGUAUUUAGAGUUUUAUUCCUAAAUAAACCUUUGCCUGUGACUUGUUUGGCUGCUCCUGCAGACAUUUUUUCUGUAACAUAUGCCAAGAACCCCACCUGAGUUGAAUUCUCCUUCUCCUCUGGGAACUCCUUGGACCCUUCCCCAGAGUCAUCUAUCUGUUCAUUGUGACAAUUUGAUACAUUACUUAGCAAUGUAUUUUUUUAUUGUACUAACUGAAUACUGUCUUAGAUGUUUUGGUGAGUAGCCUAGAAUUCUUUGAAAUUUAUCUUUUAAGUAUUGUUCAUCAGCAAAUAGAAUUUCAGCAUAUAAAAUGAGAAAGAGAUGGGGAAAAAAAGAAGAAGAAAAACAAGUUUGAUAUCAUAAUGCACCAAAGUCAAGAACACUGAUACCAUUUUAGGAACCAGCAACAUUUAAUGAGUGAAACAAACAGCAGGGUGUUAGAUAAAUGAAGGCAGACAAGCGGGAAAAAAGACUUGAUCAAAGAAUAAAAUAUAGGACCAUGAUCAAAGAAAAUAACCUUGUAAAGAAAACAAUAGUUGAUUUGCUACCGUGACACCAGAAGGUAAGGAAUUUAUUCAAAAAAUUGAGUCAAGUUGUAGAACCAGAUCUAUAUUUUAUGAAUAUGUAUCUUCCAGUAAAUAUUCUUUGUUAUUUCACACAAAUUGAAAAUGGAGUGUCCAAUAAAUAACACUCUUUUCACUUCUUAUGUAAAGCGAUGCCCUUAAAGAAACAAAAAAGAUAGUUGGCUUGUUUUUAUUUACACUUAUAAAUAAUAUAGACAGAAGCUACAUUUCAAGAUAGAAGAAAAUUCAAAGGAAUACUUGUGAUGUCGGCUUUAUAUAAUUGCACUAAGUAGUCUUAAUGAUUUCAAAACUCUUAAAUUACCCCCAAAUUACCCAAUUUGAGAAAUGUACUGAAAAUCGGUAUUUCUCCUAAGAGGGUUUUACAGAUCUGGCUAAUGGAUCUUAUUGAAAAUGUCUGAUUUAUGUCAUGGCAAUUUGGGGAGAGGGGCACUUUUAGAAAUCAUUAUACAUUUUUAUUGGUGCCAAAUUCUAUACCCAGUUUAACUUUGGUAACCUCUCUACUUAUUUCUAUUCUAUUGCUUCUAAAGUAAUUUGUAUGGAUUUAGCAUUAAUACUGACUUUGGGGGAAACUAAAAAACAUUAGUAUAUGAUGUCAUUCAACUGUUCAUUAAAUAGCAAAAUGGUGUAUCCUGAAAAAUGAGAAAGAUGGUUAGACAUCUUUCUUUAUAAAAUGGUGUUUGUGCAUUUGGCUGAUUCAUAGUAGAUGUUUGUACCUAAUCUUAGUGCUUUCUCAUUAUACAAAACUAACAGUUAAAGUGCAAAAGCAAUUUAGAAAUUAGUUUAACGGGCUUAAUUAUGCAAGUUAGAUUUUCUUGUUUGGGUUUCAGACUUUAAUUCUGCAUUGUCAUAGCUCCCUACUUAACGGCAUUUUGUUUUGACCUGUAUUGCUAGCACUGAAUCCAUACCCUGCAUCUACCAGACAAUCUGAAAAUAUUUCUGAAAUAAAUGCAUAGAGUUUUUUUUUUUUUGACUGGAUAAUCAUAUUUUUCACCAAUGUAUACAUGCAAUGUGUGCUUUCUCUUUCCACAUAUACACAUAUGUGGUGUAUAAAGGGAAUCAUAGUUCAUUCUGCAGAGAUGUGAUCCCAGAAAUGCAUUGUUAGGUAAUUAUGUCAUUGCAUGGACACUGUAAAGUAUACUUAUUCAAAUCUAGAUAGUGUAGACUACUACAUACCUGGGCUAUAGGUAUAACCUGAUGCUUCCAUACUACAAACCUGUACAGCAUGCUACUCUACUGAAUACUGUAGGGAACCAGUAAAGCAGUGGUACUUGUGUAUAUAAAUAUGGAAAAGUUGCUGCAAAAAAUGUUAUAAAAGAUAUAAAAUUGUUACAUCAGCAUCUCCACAUAUACAUGACCAACUCAUUGCACAACAUUAGGUGGCUGUGAAUCAUGAGGCCUUUAGGAAUUUUUCAUCCCCAUUGGUAUCUAGUGGGAACAUAAUCAUAUAAGUAAAAGCAUCAUUAUGUGACCCACGGUUGUGUGCACUGUAGAAUUAAUAUAAGAUAUAUAACUAUAUAGAUAUAUAAUAAUUAAUCAUUAGUUUUAUGAUUAAAACACUAUUCUUAAGUCUUUAAUUUUAUUAGUUCAUUAACUUCAACCAUAUUCCCUUGCUUUGUUUUAUUUCUAUAUCCUUCUCUCUCUCUCUCUCUCUCUGUCUCUCUGUCUUUCUCUUUUAAGGUAUCUGAGACAAAGGUGUUAAAUAAACUGCCCAAAAGUUGUACUGUUGCUAACGAGAAUGAUGAGAUUCAGACAGAUUAUUUCAUACAAAUCUACUUCUCUAAACAUUCCAACAAAAUGAGAUAUUUAUAUUUAAAGACAAUAUUAUUGUUAUUUCUGAAUUAUUAGGUAGUUGUCCUAUUUAUUUCAUUUUAUCACACAAAUGCUACCAUAUUCACAAAUAAGCAUGAGAUAUAUGCAUAGCUAAUAAAGACCUAGACUUUGUGGGAGUGCGUAGGAACUUUCAUAAGUGGAUGUGGGCAUGUCUUGUUCUUCUUGCUCAGAAACUAGCAGGGGCUAAUUCCGGGUUUAAGUGGGACUAGGGAAAGAAAAAAAAGGAGAUCGUGGGAGAAAGAAGGAAGGACAGAGGAAGAGAUAGGGUCUGUGAGAAAGGGUGUAUUUUUCCAAACUGAAGAGAUUGAUAGCCAGGAAUUGUCAUUUCUAGUUCUUUACAAUCCCAGUAUGUUUGUGACAAUGAAAUGCAAAAAUCUAUGCAGAGACAUUCUUUGUUACAGACAACAUUUACAAUCUGUUUAUUCUUUUGCAAUUGUCCAAAUGAUCUGUCCUGAAAUAACUGAUAUUGCAUUCUUAUUGUUAUCAUUUAAAUAAGAGAAUUGAUACAGAUAAAUGGAUGGAGAGGCCGCAUACCUCUGGGCUGGAGCCAGGACUUUCUACCUGGUCUUCUGCUUUCAAAAUCUAUAACCUUCACUGUGGUAUAUAUUUAAACUCACUUAAACCCAUGACUUAAUAAUAAAUAAUUAACUACUGGUUCUUAAAUAUCUAGCUUUUCACCAAACUUGGGUCUAAUGUCUGAAAAACUUUUCAAUAAAACUUGAAAUCUCUAACCUUUUCUAUACUCACUGGACAUAUCUGAGUUUCAUAAACCAAUGUGGUUAAUCUCUCUAUGAAAAUCCCUUAUGAUGUGUUGUCAGAAUUUCUUCCCACUUAUAGUAUCAGUUCAAACAGCUUUUCAGAGAUAACUGUAAUUCUGAGAAAAGCUUAAGUCCUUUAUGGCUAAUCCUGCACGUGGUACCACCAUUCAGUUUAUUUUUAGCAUCUUUCUGUUCAAGUGACUGUCUCACUCUGACAUCUACAGUGGCUUCCAGCUGCAUCUGUCCUCCCAAAGGGACCCUGAGGGGAAAUCAGGAAUGAGUACAGGGCUUGAAUGAGUUUUUUUUUCAAAGUCUUCCUCCAAAUGAAGCUCCCACAUUACAUUUUUGGGGAACUCUUGACUUUAGUCUAGUGAUAAGCAUUGACAUUUGGAGGUAAUAAAACCUCCGUGGUAAGUCAUUUCUUAUUUUUGGUAGAGCUGCACAAUCUCAAAUAUUCAUGCAGUAAAUUAUUUUAUGUGCAAUUUCCAUUUUCAGGGAAAGGCAGUUUGAACUGAAAUUUAACAUUUGCUGCAUCAGCCACGCUGGUGUUGUGUAUGCACACAAGCAUCGAUUCAAUUAUACAUUUUUAUCAUUUCAUUCAGAAAUCAUAAAUUUAGCUCUUGUUAUAUAUGAGAUGUUGGAUUCUAGGAAUGUAUGAUGUGAAAAGUAGCCUUUAGUUUUUCAUCUUCUAUGGUCUUGGAGAGGGAAUUCUGUGAGCAAUUGAAAGUGCCUUAUUUUUCACAAAACCACUUCUGUUCAAUUUUUCAAUUUUUAAAAAUUUAUUGCCUAAUUUCUUGGGAUUUUCCCACUUCAUUUUCACCACGGAGUCUCAAAUAUUCUACAGUCUAAGGAAAUAAGAAAAUGAAGGAAAUAAAGAGAGAGGAGACGCUGCUCAACAAUAGCACAGUUUUAAAACCUGUGGGGGGGGGGCCCAGUGGGGACUGAGUCCUAUCUUCCACUUCCAGGCUGGGGUAGAUAUAGCAGAAUGAAGGAGGGGGGAAUUAGGCCACUGCUAGGGGCUUGUCAGGGAAGGGUCCUUGUGGUGUCACCUUUAUAAGAAACUAGGUGUUUUCAGGAUGUCAGUCUCAGAUUAUAAUUUCUUUCCUUAUGAUGAUGGGGUGUUUGGGGUUUCUUUGCAUGAUGAUGGAGUAUUGUCUGGUGUUUAGGUCAGACUAUGACCUUGAGGUGACUCUGGGUCUAAGAUGGAACAUAUAUUUUCAAAAUGGCAUUGCCUGUGUCAAAGUUAAACCUAACAUGAAGUAUUUUCUCAAAUGUUCAUUAAUUUCAGGUUUCAUACCAGAAACCAUGUGGCAUUAUUUUGAUCAUUGUGAUUGCAAAUGUUAUUAUGUAAUAUUUCUUAACUGGUGUUUUUGGUAACACUAUUAUUAAUUCUGCUAUUGGGCUUUCUGGUUAUUUUUCUCCUUUUUUUUGUUUUGAAGCUGCUGGGUUGAUCAGAUUUUAAAAAGACAUAUAUAAUUCAUAAUUAGUGAAAAUUUUACUCUCUACUUCGAAAAUUAUUUCUUUUCUGAUUUUAUUUAAGAUUACAUCUAGAAUGCAGUUUAAUAACCAAGAUGGUAUAAUCCAUUUUCAUCUUGAUGCUUAAGCUUAGUGUGAUUGCUUCCAAUCUAAUAUUUUACUAUAUUAAUAAUGCUUAUGUUUUCAGCAUCUCUUCUUCUAACAUCCGUUUUUUAUUAUGUUAAGGAAAGUUAAUAUUACUUGAUUAAUAGCUUCCUGUAGGUAUGGAUUUUGAAUUUAAAAAUAUUCUUUGAGUGCCAAAAACAGAAAAGAAGCCUUUUUAACAAAUGGUGCUAGGAAAACUGGUUAUCUACAUGAAGAAGAAUGAGACUAGCCACUUAUCUCUUACCCUCCACAAAAGUCACCUCAAAAUGAAUCAAAGAUCUACAUUAGAACAGAAUCUCUGCAACUCCUAGAAGUAAACAUAGGGUCAGCACUCUAACAUACAGGGACCAGGGAGGAAGGAGGGGAAUUUCAAUGCGAAAGAGAGGACAGGGGAGGAAGUGCGAGAGAGUGAUAAUUGCCAAAUUAUAUUUUUUAUAUUGUGUGCCUGUACAAAUAUGUAGCAACAAUACCAUCAUUCUGAACAGUUUUAUUUAUUUAUCUAUUUAAGGUUUUUGGAGGAUUGAACCCAGGGAUAUUCAACUACUGAGCCCCAUCCCCAAUUUUUAAAAUUUAUUUAUUUAUUUUGAGUCAGGAUCUCACUAAGUUGCUAGGGCCUCGCUAAGUUGCUGAGUCUGGCCUUGAACUUACAUCCUUCUGUCUCAGCCUCCCAAAUUGCUGGAUUACAAGUGUCAUCCACCAUGCCUGGCUCAUUAUGUACAAUUUUAAUGCACAAAUUAAAAAAAAUAUGGAAAAUAUCUGUAUUUCUUCAAAUGAUUUAUUAUUAUUGAUUCAUUCUUAGGAAGGAUUAUAAUAAUUAGUUUUCUAAUGUUAAGUUACUCCUAAAUGUAUGUAGGUCAGGUAAAGGCUCAAACUGGGUAGAAAGGAAGGGUUUAACAACUAGACUAUCCACUGUGGUCAGGAUCAGGAAAGAGACAAGAGGUCGCCUUGUACCAUGGACUAGUAAAGUUUGUUAUCCCAUGGUGGAAGGGCAAGGGGAAAGGGAAGAAGAUGGCAACCCAGAAGACUGCUUAACAAGGUGUGUGACCCCUAUGAGAAAGAUGCAGCCAACCAACAGUCACUUUGCAGGAAGGGAAUCCAUGGAAGAAAUUCCCACCCUCUGUUUCUCCCCAUGUGACCUCAAGUCAGAGAGCAGGGAAGUCUAUUGAUUGUGUUUUUGAGGGUCUGACUUCCAGGGCUCACAAUGAGAUAGAGCAAGAAUUAGAAUGAGGAUACAAAAGACAUAUCUCCCUUUUUCUAAACAGAGUUUUAGUAAACUGGUAUACUCCAGGUCUUGCACUAUGAAUGAUCAUUUCAAUAUGUAAAAAGUAUUCAAAACAAUGGAAUUGAAACUUCAUUAAGAAUCAUAAAUCUGGCUUGGUGGUGGACGCUUGUCACCCAAUGGCUCAGGAGCCUGAAGCAGGAGGAUUACAAAUUCAAAGCCAGUGUCAGCAACAGCGAGGCACUAAGCAACUCAGUGAGAACCUGUCUCUAAAGAAAAUACAAAAUAGGGCUGAGGAUGGGGCUCAAGGGUUGAGUGCCCCUGAGUUUAAUCCCCAGUACCAAACAACAACAACAACAAAAGUUAGGGGGAGUAACUGAACUUAAUAAAGGUAUAAAUGUGGCUUGAGCUUGGUGUGCAAGGGAAGACUGAUUUAGGAUGAGGAUAGAGAAGAAAUCAGUAGGCAUUGAGUAGGCAUCAUUUAGAUGUUAGGUUUAUUUUAAGUACAAUGGCCAUUACAGGGUUUUAUGUAAAGAAGCAUUAUAAUGAUAUCAUCUGAAUAAUUUAUUCCUUAAAAAUUAUAGAUAAAAAUCCUGUGCCAGAUGAUUAUUAUAGGUAACAUGUAUGUAGGUAAGCAGGGGACUGAACCUAGGGCCCUAUGCAGGCUAAGCACAUUCUCUACCACCCAACUACUCCCCAUCCUCUUUUCCCAGAGGAUAUGGUGAGUGUGUAUGGUUAGUAGUUGGGGAUAGUUUCUUAACUAUGUUUUUGUUUUCUUAUUUCAAGAUAUCAUCUUUCCAGUUUAUAGUUUUCUAAAUGAGGAAUGCAAAUUAUUUUUAAAUACAUAUAUUUUUAGUUGUAGGUGGACACCAUACCUUUAUUUUAUUUUUAUGUGGUGCUGAGGAUCAAACCAGUGCCUCACACAGGCCAGGCAAACACUCUACUACUAAGCCACAGCCACAGCCCCAUGAGGAAUGAAUUUGAGAUGCAAUUUUUAACUCUGAACAAGAAUAUAGUGUGUUGAGAUAGUUUUGAAAUGCCUUCUGUAUUUGUAUUUUGGCAACUUAUUUUUGUAUAUUUAUACUUAUUUUCUUGACAUAUUUACUAGAAAAUGUUCUACCUUAUUGAUGGUUAAUUUCCUGAGGAGCAACAAUGUUAUUAUAUCCAAUCCGUGUGUUUAUUUUCUACUGCUUUAUGUUUGUAGUUGUAAUGAGUCGUCACUUUCCUGUGCUUUGUUCCAUUUAUAAAAGGGUAUUGCCUUUACUGUGUUUUGAGCGUAACUCAUAAAUAUCUAAUUUAUUAUUAUUUUAGCCUAGUAACCAUAUCUUUUAAAUAUACGAAUUUGUUAUGAGCACCUUAUUGAUAGGCAUUUCUUAUUUUUGGCAUGCAGUUACAAAAAAUUAACACUUGUUAGCCAUAUGGAAUAGAAAUUCUAGGUUUCUAUAGACCUAUGAUAUAUGAUUACAAGAGUAGAUUUUUACUUUUUUAAAGUUUUUAUUCCUAUCUUUCAUCUAAAUAUAUUUAAUUCAAUGAAAUAUUUUUUCAAAUAUAAUUUCACAUUUUAAAAAUAAUGAUUUUUUCUCUAUGACUUCAUAUAAAAUCACUUGGAAUAUAUUUCAAAAAUUUGCAAAUCAGAUUGUGACGUUUAAUAUGAAUACCUCCUGAUUUAAUUUAGUUUGCUUUUCAUCCUGAAUUGAAUUGGCUAUUUUCAAAAACCAGUUGACUAUAUACAUGUUGGUCUAUUCUGGACUCUUUUUAUAUGCCUAUUUUCACACUGAUAAUUCAUUGUCUUAUCUAUUGUAUUUUUAUUAUAAGGCUUGGUACCAGCUAGUAUAAGCUAUCCAGAUUGUGUUUUCUUUUCAAGAAUGUAUAAGCUAUUCUUAAUUCUUAAAUAUAUUCACAUAUGUUGUAGAAUAAUUUCUUUAAUUUCUAUAAAACACAUGCUGGUAUUUUGUCUGGAAUUCUGAAUCCAUAGAUGAAUUUGUGAGGAAUUAUCACAUUAAAAAUAUUAAAACUCUUGUCCAUUAACAUAGUAUAUGUCUCCAUUUACUUAAUGUUCUUCAUUUUUAUGUUAUAUUUCAUGUGUGUUUUAUUUUUCCUCAUGGAAAAACCUUAUACAACUCUGGUUAAGCUCAUUGAUUAGUUUUUCAUAAUUUUAAGUUAAUUUGUUGUUGACGUCAGCCCAAAUUAUUAUCACCAAAAAAUUGAUGAGGCUUAUGGGUAUGAGUAUAGAGGUUAUCAUCUAAUUAUCUAUAAAUACAUCCAAUGUUUUUUUUAAUUCUACUAAGCAAUUAAUUUGUCCAGUGAAAUAUAAACCCCAGAGCAACUUUUAAUGGAAUCCAGAGUGACCAAUUGUUGAGAAAUCAAGAUUAGGUCCUUUCCUAAUAGAGUAACUAAGAACAGAGUAGGGUCGAAGAGCAUGAGAAGAAGAUUAACAUUAAACAGGGAUGAGAGGUGGGAGGGAAAGGGAGAGAGAAGGGAAAUUGCAUGGAAAUGGAAGGAGACCCUCAGAGUUAUACAAAAGUACAUACAAGAGGNGGUAAAAAUGGGAGCUCAUAACCCACUUGAAUCAAAGUGUGAAAUAUGAUAUAUCAAGAACUAUGUAAUGUUUUGAACAGCCAACAAUAAAAAAUUAAAAAAAAAAGAGUCAGAUUUGGGGAUCAAGUACAGUUCAUGUCUACAAGCUUAGGGGUACUAUAAGAUGUCCAAAAAAAGCAUGAUAGCAUAGUGGUCAUGAAGACAAAGACUCAUAACUUGAGUUUUCAAAAUCUUUCAUAAAAGACUGCAUGGAAUUUUAAAUUGUGUUUUUAAGUGCAUUAUUCCAUUCAAAAGAAGCAUUUUGAAAAUAAGAUAAUAAAAAUGAGUCUUCUAGUUUUCUUUCCAAAGUGCCCUAUGAGCCCCUUCAAUUUGUGAAUUCAAGUGCUUUUCUUCUUGUGCAAUAUUUUCUUUAAAUUUUAUUGCAGUUCGAUUGUUUUGCUUUUCUUUUUCAGAGACAACAAUGACACACAUAUUGAGCCUACAUUUUAUGUUGUCCAUUCCCAAUAUAUUCUCUGUGAACUUUUGUACUAUUUUGUUUCAUUCAUUUUUCUCUCAUUUGCUGUUUUCAACCUUUCUUCCAUUUUCCUUAUUAAAUUUUUAUGAGUCUCUCCAUCGCAUAAUUUGGAAAGUACCAGUCACUCCAUAAUUUAGAUUUUGCUGCUGGUUUAACUUUGUUUUCCUUCCAUUGUGUCUGAGUUCAACCAAUUCUUCAUUUUGCUCUGCCUUUUAAAAAUCCAUUAAUAUUCCAGAACAGUUUCUUUUUUAAAUACAAGUAUGGUCAAAUAUUUGCUUUUGUGGCAAUUCUGUUUGGAGUGUUUACUUACAGCUUUUUUUUUUUUUUUUUUGGCUUAAGAGGUAUUUUUUUUAAUAUAUAUAUUUUUAUUUUCUAUUUCCUGGAGGAAUUUUUCUCAGUUGAUCUCUUUGGAUUUCUCUUUUCCUUUUUAUGUUUAAUUUUGACAAUCUCUCUGUAUGGACUUGUUAAUCUCCCCCUUAUUCACAUAUUUGACAUUUUGAGGUUUUUACCAAAAUUCCUAGUUAAAUAUCACCCACUUCUGUCUGUGCUGCAAAGGCCAGAUGCUGGAGUGGAUUUGUUUGUUCUGUUGGUAGGGGGUCGAGUAGUGGUUCCUCCAAUGUUAUGUCUUUGUUUUGCGGGAACCUAAAUUUUCUUUUUUUACCAGUUCAUUUCCAAAGGACACUGGUUCUUUUCAUUUGAAUUAUUUUAUUUCUCAGAAUUUUGUAUGUUUUAUUUAAACCAAUGUUGUUUUCAUGAAAUCUCAUACUUAGGCCCACAAUAAACAGGCCAUCACAGAGACAGAAACUACCACCAGACAGACCCAUGCACUGGAAAUAGUAUAAAACAUUCAAUGUUUCUUUCUAGUUACUUAUCAUUCAUUACUGAGUAUGCUUUGGGUAGAAAUCCAGGUAUUAAUUCCCCUUUUUUUGCUGGUCAUAAAGAUCUUCUUUUUAUCUGAUCCAAUAUCUCUAUCUCAACUCCUGUGUAUCAAUUAAAAUCCUUCUGCUUAUUCCAUUUUUGUCACCAAAUAUAUUUACUUUUAUUAUUUUCUCAGAUGGGGUCAGAAGGAAAUGGGAAUAAUAUGACAGAAGAAAUAAUUUUUAAGUAUUAAUCUUCCUUAAAAUACCCAUUCUGCAGAGAUCCAUAUUCUCUAAAUGUUCUUUGAAAUUUACCAAAUUACCUAAGCUUUUUCAUAUUAUUUGUAUAUCUUACAAUUUUAAGAACCUAUUUGAUAAUCUCAGUGGGGGGUUAACACUAAUACACUGUUUGCAGAGAUGGAGACAAUACUUAACACCAAUAAACCUUUUUUUCAUGUAAUGCUGGAAAAGCAGAGAAAUACUUAAACUUUUAAUUGCAUCAAUUUGUACUUUAUACAAAGCUCCCCCUGUGAUAGUGAUUCAUAGUGAUUUGGGGAAACCAAAACUGGAAAUCCUGCACUAAAAGAAAUGUGAGUGAAAAAAUUGGUGUAGACAAAAUCCCUAGUUGGCUUUUAUAUUUUCUAUUAGGAAGCAAUAAAGGAUUGGGCAUCAGGGAACAUGAAUGCAAUCAAUUUCUCUACUUUGUAUAUUCCACAUGCUUCUUUCCUGAUGGGCUCCCCAUAGUGAUCAGUCCAAAAAAAAAAACAACAACAAAAAACAGCAAUUCAGAUGGAAAGAAUCUCUAUACUCAUGACCAGAGAUAGUCAAAAGGUACUGUUGGAGCAUUUGGCUAUGUGCUGAAGCUUGGAUUGGGGAGGAUACCCAUGGCACAGUUGAUAGUAACAGCUCCUGAGAACAGAAGGUAUAUUGAACCCUGAGGCAAGGGCAAAAAGAGGCUGUAAUGAGGAUAUGUAAGACCAUUUUGAGAUCUUGACCAAACUGUUCACCAUUUACUGAUGCACUCAAACAAGUGUGGUUUAAUGUCAUUGUGACAUUGAACCAAGCAAUGAAGAGAAAAAUUUAACAGAAAUUUAACAGACUAUUGGGUCGAGACUGUAUUUCUAAAUCAAGCAUAGAAAUGAAGGGAACCUCAUAUAUCCUAGAGAGAGCUAGUAUUCCCAGACAGUGAGAAAGGCUCACACUUCUACACUCUAUGCAUUUUCUCAUUUCCAAAUUGGAUUGCUUGAGUGAAAUGGUUGAUGGUUUAUCUCAGCCUAAAAGUUAAACACAUACAUAAAAAUUCUGUUACUCAUUUCCAACUUAUAGAUCUCUUGAAAAGUUUUGUCAUCAUUUGCAGAUUAAUUUUUCUCAUCUAAUUAUUUGCAGACAAUAAUCUUUAUGUCCAACUUGUACUUGGCAUUUUCCAAGCAUUUUCACAUGUGUUAUGAUAUGAGAUUGAUCAUGCUGAGUUCAAUCUCUGUUAUAUGAAUAUUCUCAUCAUGGUUUAUCCCUACCUCUUCACAUCACCCCAGCAAACUCUGGUAGUUAUCAGGACAAGAUUUCGCAGGAAUAUGGCAGAGACAUUGAUAAUUGAGUUAAGGGGUCUGUUCAAAUAUGUUUGUCUUCAUAAUCCAUAAAUAAAAACUCUGAUCAUAUGUUUUGAAAACAAAUCCAAGGCUCUUGAUGGCAAAUCUCAUCUCUUUAGGUCAGGAAUUGCUGAUAGGUUUUAUGCUUGGACAGUGUUUGAGGGAUUGAUAGAUUGAACAGAUUGUUGCUUAAAUUAUAACAUCUGACCAAAAAAAUGAGCAUUUACUAUGUGCAGGGAUCUUAUUAAGUACUUUCAACAACACAUCUUUGUUAUAAUUACCCCCAAAAGAAAGAAAAAUCUCCAAUUUAAGAUAAGGCAGCAAAAAAAUGCAUUUAGCAGAAGGAAAAUAUCUUCCUUCCUUGAGAGCAAUACUGAGUUAUUUUCUGUUUAGUGACAUAAGUUUUAGGCACUAUCAGGUUUUCUCUGAAGCCAUUUAUACCUUAAACUCCCGAUGUCACCUUCAGCUUGGAGAAGCAUAAAGGCCUUGCAUCUCACCAUAGCCAAUCUCACUUCCUAAAUUCCCACCUACUAAUGCAGCUUCCUGAACAUUUAUUUUUCUGUCUUAGAUCUGGUUUUCUGAUGCUUUAUUUUUUUUAUUUUUUUAUUUGAGAUAUAUAUAUAUAUAUAUAUAUAUAUAUAUAUAUAUAUAUAUAUAUAUACUUAUCUAUCAUUUGUCUCCCUCUUAUUUCCUCUUGGUUAUCUUAAUUUUUAAUUAACUAUUGUAGGUGUUCACCCAGAAUGCUUUAAACCAGCAUUUUAUACAACUAUAUUCUAUGGAUCAAGGAACAUCUAAAAUAAUAAUAAGUUCUUUAGGAAAAAAAUAUGUUCAUUUUAUUGAGCAGAAUAUUUCCAAAUAUAUUCAAGUUUAAAUCUCCUCACACAUACAAUUUAUUUUUAAUACUGUUCACUUAUAUUCUGAAUAAUAAUUUGUUUAGUAUUUUAUUUUCUGUGCAUAUAUACAAUGUAAUCUGUCUCCAGCAAAUCCCAGACAAUGAAACAUUGAAUUUAUUAGUGAGAUCAAAUAUCCCCUCAAUAGUCACCAAAGGUUCUUUUAAGGUUGGCUGUCUUCCUUUCAGUUUUUAAGAGCAUAUCUACGGUCACACAGUAUCUACCAUUUGGCUCCUUCUGUUCAUCUGGCUGUUUUUGUUCUCAUGACCACUAACUAUUUCCAGGGAGGUUACAUGGUCACCUUUAAGACCUCCUUCAAAAAACCAAUCUAGGACUAAAGAAAGAAGAAUCUAGAAACUCACCUGCAACGGACUGACAGUAUCUCCCGAGGAAACUGCUAAAGAGCAUCCACUGCUCGGUUCCUUGGUCCUUGUAGGAUGACUCUCUUAGAUAAUAGAGAAAUGAAAGUCCAACCAUGUCUACUGUUUGACAUGCCCGAAGAGGACCAAUUAGAAGAGGACUCCCCUUUAGAUUCUUUUCCUGGUAAAAGACUUCAAUACAAGUGACUUUCAACAUAGACUUGAUAGUGACAACUUAAUUAUCAAAUACUCUGGAGAGAGUGCAAUAACGUUAAUGCAACUUGACACAUAAUUAUCAUUUUUCCAAUAGAAUUACCAUGUGGUUAUAGCUCAGUUCUUUUUCUGAUCGAGUAUCUGAAGUGCACCUGUCCCCUCUGUUGUUAGGUUUAUCCUUCUUUCCUAUCCUCAUCCCUAAGUAUAUUUGCUCUCCAACAAUGGCCAAUCAGACACUAGAGAAUAAGUUUCCAGCUGAUAAAAAUCUUAUACCUUUUCUUCCUUGGAAUUUUUUUUGCAGUGAGAAAUAUUCCAAUUCCUAAAGAAUGAUAUAAGCAUGGACAUGAAUAUUUACUAGGUAACUGUUAUGUGUUAGACAAUGAGCUAAAAGUUUUGACCGUGAGAAAUAGUUAUUUUAUCCUCAAAGAUAAGGGAACUCAGGUUCAGAUAAGUUAAAUAAUCUUGCCAUAACCACAAGGUUUGCAUUAAUAUCUGAUAUUUCAAUCCACUCCUGUGCACUACAGUGAAAGCUGUUCUUAACCUUAAUUGUACACUGGAAUCACUUGUGGAGUUCUGUAAAUAGUCAUACUGGAUUCCACAAUCAGAAUCUGGAGUAUGGUCUUGACAUUUAGAUUUCAGCAUUAUUCCCAGGUGUUCUUGAUGCAUCUAGGGUCCACAAUCACUACUGUACAUGACUUUUAUAAAUUGGUAAAUUGCCAAAAAAAUAUGCUUAUUUAUUUUUUAAUCUACAAAUCAAAAGAGAAGUGCAUAACAAAGUGAGGAAAAGUCCUAUUUACCCAAUGGAAAUUGUAUAAACUCCUUUACUUACACAGGGGAAAAUAAGUACAUAGAGAGUGGUAUGUAUAAUUCUGAGAAAGUGAACUGUAGUAAGGGAAAUGUUUUUUUGGAAUUAAGACAGAACUUGGUUUAAACAAUCUCAGGCAAAUCAUUUAUUCCAGAAAACUGUGAAUCUUCAUUUCCCCAUAUUUUCAGUUCAUCUCUAAUACUGUUAGUAUUAACUAAAGAUACCUGACUUCUCUUUAAAAAUAACUCCCUACAAAACAAUCUAAAAUUGAGACUAUUUCAUAGUGAAGUUUCCCUAUGAGCAUACAAAGAAUAAGCGAUAAUUUGCUGUUAGAUAAAGUAGCGUAUAGAUUUGAUUAAAACUGUUUGUUUGUUUGAUUGUUGUUGAUUGUGAACAUGUUUGCUGGUUUUCUUACUGCUGAAUCUGCACAUUUCUGAGAGACAUAAUAGUUUUUACUUGUAUCAGUGGAUUCGUUUAUUUCUCUUUGCAGUUCUGUCAGCUUUUAUCUCACAUAUCCCACCACUCUGUUGUUAGAUGAAAAUACACUAAGGAUUGCUAUAUAUUCUUAGAAUAUGCAAUACCCUCCUUAAUCCCUAACAUGUUUCCUUGCUCAGAAUCCUAUACUAAGAUUAAUAUACCUACUUCCCCUUUCUUUUGAUUCAUUUUAGCAUGGUAUCUUUCUCUCUUUCCUUCUUUUUAAUCUAUAUCUCUUUAUAUUUUUUUUUCUGGAGACAGCAUAUAGUUGCAUCUUAUUUUUUUAAUCAAUUCUGACAAUUGCCAACAUUUCACUGAUGUAUAUAGGCCAUUGAUGUUUGAAGUAAGUACUGAUAUACCUGGAGUAUCAGCUAUCAUACUUGUUGCUGUUAUUCUUUAUGCCUGUUUUUUGACUUUCCAUAUUUUUUCUACUUUUUGCAGUUUUAAUUGUACAUAUUUAUUAUUCUAAAUUUUCAACUUUUUUAGUAUAUCAAUUAUUUCUUUAUUUUCUUUAUUUUUACCUAUAUUAAUUGUUACUUGAGUUUGCAAUAUACAUUCAAAGCUAAUUCAAAUCAGUCUAACUUCAAAUAAUAUAGAUCUUCAAAAUGAAUUAAGAAAAAGAAAAGUACUUUACCCUUUCAUGUUCCUUCUUUGAUGAUCUACCUUUCUUUUUUUAAAUUUUUUUUUUGUAGUUAAAGAUGGACAGAAUGCCUUUACUUUAUUUUUUAAAAUUUUUAUGUGGUGCUGAGGACCAAACCCAGUGCCUCAUGCAUGCUAGGCAAGCGCUCUACCACUGAGCUACAGCCCCAGCCCCUGAUCUACCUUUCUUUAUGUGGAUCCAUGUUUCUAACCUACAUUAUCCUUCUUCUUUGUAAGGAAGUUUUGAAACAGUUUUUUGCAAGCCAGAUCCACUGGCAACAAAUUUCCUCAAUUAUUAAUUUUUCUGAGAUUUUAUUUCUCCCUCACUUUUGAAAAAAUAUUUUCCAUCGGUGUAAAAUUAUAGCUUGUAAUUUUUUUCUCUCCACAUUCUAAGUCACUCCAUUUUCUCUAGCUUGCAUCUUUUAUGAGAAAAAACCUAUUAUGUUUUCUAUCUCUGUUUCUGUACAGAAAUUUGCUUUUUUCUCUUUAGUGACUUUCAUAGUUUGUUUCUUCCUCUGUGACUUCUGAAAUUUCAGUAUGAUAUACCUACAUGUCAGUGCCUAUUGUUUGCUUGUUUGUUUUGCUCUACAUUGGUUCAUCUUGAUGUUCUCCAAGAUUCCUGCUUAUCUGGCACUAAGCUGGUGAAAUCCCAGUCAUUAUUGCUUCAAAUGGUACUUUUGUUUUUCCUCUUCUUGCAUCCCCAUUAUGAAAUUGUUACUUGUCUGUAGUUAACCAACUGUUUGGGAUUUCUAUUAUGCAUUUUUUUCAGUCUUUAAAAAUUCUCUUUGCAGUUCUGAAUGUUUCUAUUGUCAUAUUCUCAAGCUCAUGUAUCCUUUCAUCAGCCAUAUCAAAUAUACUAAUGAGCCCAUCAAAAGCAUUCUUUAUUUCUGUUACAGUGUUUUUGAUUUCUAGCAUUUCUUCUUGAUUCUUAAAAAUUUCUCACUUUGUCCAUCUGUUCUUACAUUCUGCCUGAUUUUGCCAUUAAAACUCUGAGCUUAUUAAUCACAUUUUUUGUUUGUUUGUUUCUGUGUUUGUUUUCUUUGAUUGUCACUUGCUGGUCUGAGCACUGCAGUGUUCUUUCCAUAGCUUUCCUUUGUGUCUGGUACUCAUUUAGUCUCUUCACACUGAUUUUUGUCCUUUCGUAAAUCUUGACAUUUUUUUUUUCUGGAUUUUGUUGUGGUGGUAGUUGUUGACAUGAGACAUUGGUAAAAGGAAGUGCCUAGAAUAGGUCUUUGGUAAUGUAGUGGGAAGGUGGAAUAGAAACUUUCUGUAGUUCUGUAAUUGAGCAUAGGGCUAUGAACUUCAUUAAUUCAUAGUCUGUGAAUUUCAGCAAUGCUUCUCAUUUUUCCUUUCCCUUAGGUAAGUCAGAAUGAAUGAGUGAGCUUUCUAGUUGGGCAUUUCCCUUACCACUGUGGUAUAAGGGUAGCUAGAACUGGAUAUUCCCUUCCUUCACUUUGGUAAGAUCCAGAAAAACUCCGUGAAGUGAAUACUGGUAAGAGUUUUUUGCAGAGCAAGGCUUUGUGAAAAUCAGAAUACUUUGGCAUAUUUCAAAAUAGUUCUUCCCCACCUCCUCUCCAUGAAGGCACAACGGGAUUUUUCUCCAGUAUUCACUAGAAGGACAUAAUAGAUUUCCUGGGGUUAAAACUCAGAGGAGUUCAACAUCUCCCUGUGAAUUGGUCCCCUUGGAGUUUUUAACAGAGUUGCCCAUCUGGAGCUGCGAGCUAUUUCUCAAUCAGGAUUCAUAUUUUUCCUAUUUGGGCAUUGGUUCUCAAAGAGGUUUCUGCUUAGGUAAAUUGUGGUUUUCUGUCUUUGCUUGUCUGUCUCUUCAAUUUUUAGGGCAGUGAUUUGUGCUUUGAUUUUGGUUCCUUGAUCUUGUCAGCCUUUUACUCAGGGUCAGAAUGGAGUAACCCCACAUCUAAGCUCCUCACUUGCCAGACUGGACACAACACCUCUUACACCUCUUAAUUCCUUUUUCAGUAUGUUUUGUCAUUGUUUAAGAAGCAGUAUAGUGAUUACAUCUUGGUUAAGCUUUCAUUUGGUUUGAGUUUUACUGGGUGCUCUUUUAUUUUAUAGGUUUAUGGAUGCUUACAUCAGCUUCUACAAUAAUCCUUCUGGGGAAAUGAUCUUUAUUUCUAGUCACACCAUUAAUUUUGUCUUUAGUUAUUUGAUUUGUAAAAACCUACAGUGCACCGUCUUUGAAUAAAAAUCUUCCCAUGAAGCAGAAUCUCUUUUCCUUCACCUCUCUAUUACAUGCACACUCACACACACACACCACUACCCUUGACCUUAAGCAUGUGAAUUUCAGGAGGAAAGUCACAAAUAAAUAACAAUUGAUUUAAGACUAAGAGACAACAAUAGCCCAAGACAGCAUCAUCUUUUAGCAAGGGGGUAAAAAUGGAGAUGAAUUUUGCAACGGUCAUCCUACUCAGUGGAAUUGACAUGAUGCAAGGGUGUGGAAAUGGAAGUGAGCAAUGCACAUAGUAGGUUUGGGAAUUUGCAAUUAACUGAGCAUUGUCUGAACAUCUGAUACCUUUUGAACAUUGACAGAAUAUUUUGAACCUAGCAUUUCCUUAAUAAAUAUGUAGGAACUUGAAAAUUCCUUCUAGAGCUUCUUGAAUUUAAUCCCAUUUCCAAAUCAUGCCAUGUUCUAUUUUUUGAGGCCCAGCAACAUGAAUGGGGGACACAAGGAGCUCACUGCUGAGUUGGCAGUGGGAUUAGUCCUUCUUCUCAUACAUUAUUUUCCCUGAAAUCAUGAAUUGGACUUGGGCAUGGAAAAUACAGACAGGUCCCAUCUCUUUUUAGAAAUAGAAGAAAAUAUUUUCUGGAAAAUCAACACAGAAAAACAACAGAAUUGCCCUUUUCUGGGGCAGGCAAAUUUAACUCGCAAGAGAUCUCUGUAAAUGUUUCUGUUCCCCAUCAGUAUCCAUGUAAUGAAUGAGUGUAUUCAUUUGACACUAUGGGAAAUGAAAGCCAUCCCCUUCAAUUGUGCAGCAAAGAUAAACAGAGUUAACACGAAAGGGGGGACUUCUGGAGACAGAAACCAGGGGUAGGUGGUCAAGGAAAAUAGUCAACUUUAAACUCAAUUAGCUAUAUUGAACUCAGUUUUAAUAUUGCUAGUUCUACUAUUUUGAUGGUUAUUUCCCUUCUGAUAUAUGUACUACUAUCCUGCAUACUCCAUAGCAAAAUGUGUGUGGAUUGUAAUAAGACACUAGGGGUGUGGACAUCAUGAAGUGCUAAUUCCUGAGCACACACUGUGACUAAUCUUCUUACAUUAGAAUACUAAAGUAGACCUUUAGGCCUGCUAGCCUAUUGGCCCUACAAAAAAGUAAAAAAAAGAAAAAAAAAUAGCCUUGCUAUAACCUACCUGAAGCAUUCUGGUAAUUUCUUAAAUGGAUUCCUUGACUUAUAGAGUUUAGUUUCAAAAACACUCUGCACACUGUUAUCAAGACAAUUUUCAUGAGAUUUAAGACAGAAGAUUUCAGAAUCCUUCAGGGCUUUCCUGGCUCUCAAAGUCAUUUAUCACCCCAUGAUCUCUUUUUGAAAACUAAUACCACUUUUCUCCUUUAUUAUUGGACACCCCGUGUGUUCUCUGGGUCCCCCAUGUACUUCGACAAUUUACCAUUGUUCAUGAAGUUUCUCCCACCUGAAAUUAUCCUUACUCACAUUUCUUUCAAAGUUUACCCCACCAAGCCCACCAGGAGUUCUCAGAUCUCUCUAGUUCAAAUUAAAGUUUCCUCUUUCUUUCCUGAUCUCUCAUUAAAAGUUUAAACCUUUAUGUCUUUAUUGUGGUACUUUGAACAAUACGCUUCAUAUCUCAAUUUAUCUUAGUAGAUGGAGUGUUGCCAGCAGAGAAACUCAUUAUUUUUCUGCGUCUGUUUGGACUUCUGUAACAAAAUACCACAGAUUGGCGGGUACCGAUAAGCAACAGAAACUUAUUUGGGAAGUACAAGAUCAAGGUGCUAGCAGAUUCAUGGUCUCUGAAGCCCUGCUUCCUAGUUCAUAGAUGACUUUGUUUGGGCUGUGUCUUCACAUGGGAAGAGAAAAGAGAGCUCUUUGGGGUCUCUUUUAGAAGCACAAUAAUCCAAUUCAUGUGGACUCCGCCACCAUAACCAAUUACCACCAGAGGCCUCAAGUCUUCAUAACAUUAUUAGGACUUCAACAUAUGAAUUUGGGGAAGGGCACAAACAUUCAGUCUAAAGCACUCCCCAUGUCACUACAACAACCCCAAAUCACAUAGACACAUUUCCUUACUUAUUGUAACAUUGUCAAAUUCUGUGGGUGUGCUUACUUUUUCCUUACAUAUAUUUCCUGAGGAAUUCUUCAAUUAAAUCCUAAAUUGGGGCUCCUCAUUUAACUUGAUUCUCCGUAUCCCAACACAUUGCAACAUGGAGAUUACUCUUUGAUUGUCAUCAGCGGUAUUAAAUGGUUACAAAAUUAAUCCUGGGAAGAUAAUGUAAAAGAACCCACCUGCAUUUUUCCCCCAACCACUCCUAAUUUUGUGGCCUCUUCUUCCUCUCCUGUACUUCUUUAUUUGCUCUGUUCUUUCUUUAUUCUAUCCUUUUUUGUGCUUUAAAAUUUUUUUUCAGUUCUGUACAGUGACUCAACUAUGCUUUAUGAAUUUGUUUUUCAAAAGUGAAAAUCUCCUCCAACACCCCACAAUAUGAAAUAGUUAAAUAUUUUAUUUCUGCAUUACUGUAAUCUUUCAUAUAAUAUGAUCAUUAUUAGUAUUCAUUUGCAAUUAUUAUUUUCAUAAUAAGUAAUUGCAAGCUCUUCCAAUUCCCAGACUGCUAUGUUUCUGUGAGGAGUUUUUAAGACAAGAAAUGUAGAAAAUGACUCUGGAUCAAUCUGAAGGAGUUCUCCAUAUAUAUAUAUAUAUAUAUAUAUAUAUAUAUAUAUAUAUAUAUAUAUAUUGAUUUUUUUCUCUAUCUUUUAACUUUCCUCAAGUAUAAAUUUGAGGGGAAUUUCCUCUUGAUCAUUAUUUUCUGAGGUAUCUAUAUAAUCCAUAGCUCCAAUACCUUAAACAAGAAAUGUCAAUAUGUGCUUGAGGAUGUUUAUCUUUCCUAAAUUCCUCAGGGUGUGCCUCCUCUUUCUACCUCAACUAAAUUUUUUUAUCAAGAAGAAAUACUGGAGGUUUAUAUUUUAGGUGCAGAAAUUUCACAAAAAAUAACAUUUCCCACUGCCCCCAAUGAAGAAAGGCAAAGAAGCACACAUAUCUCCAUGGCUUUUGUGUCAGUUCUGAAUUUUGAGAUAUGUUGGCCUUACACCUAUGUGCCCCAUGCAUAGACAGUACUGUUUGCAAUCUAAGUCAUUAUGUUCUUAAGACAGGGAAUAUUGUGAAGAAAAUCUACUGUAUAGUACAUUGUGGGUACUACAUGAAAUGACGUAUGGUUAGUGCCACACAGGGUGGUGCUCAGUGCGUGUCUUUUUUUAUUUUCUGCUGGAUGCAUUUAAAGAACUUGAGCAGAAGGGGAACAAAUUUUGGCAUCAGACAAUUCUAGUAAGCUCUCUAAGAUUAGGAACCAGGAGAACCCUUAUCUCCAUAUGACUCCAAACACCUAGCAGAUUGGGCCCAGCAAGAAUGUACUUUUUGAAUAAAACCAUGAGGAAAAUAAUAAUUUUAACUGGGAUUAAUCCAGUUUUUAAAUCCAAUAUUUAAAUAUUGGCUCUGUCACUUACCAGCGGUCCAGUUAAGGCCUGGGUUAUUAAAACUUUAAUUUCUUCAUUGUUGAAAUAAGGAUCCUACUACUGUUUUCCUGAAUUUUUACCAUUUUUAAAUGAAAGCACAUGGCAAGUGUUCAAAAUGAAAUGGAUGAUAAAUAAAUGCUUCUGGAAAGAACAGACAGAUGAAUGAAUGGAUGGAGAGAUGGGUAGGUGGAGGGAGGGGUGAACUGGAACAACUGAAACAACAAGUAGAUGAUGAAGUACAUGUGGGUAUAGUCACUUGUCAGCCUUAGCAAUACAACAUUGGAUGACAAUUGUUAGCCUGUAAACAUAACUAUAGGCUAACUUAAAAGUCAAAUCAAGCUGUCCCCAUUCUGCCCAGAUGCCUCAUCCUGAUGCCCUUCCUCUUCCCCCUUCCUGCAAGGGCCCACUCACAUAGAAGCUGACACCCCCACCCUGACCACAAUGCUCACAGAGGUUGACCUACUUUCUGAGAAUGUACAGGAGCUGCCAUUUCCAAGAACUGGUGGCAGUGUCCUUGCUUCUCCUGCCCCUGCCCCUUUGUGGUUCUUGAGGUUUUGAAACGUGCUCUCCACCUGCAAUUGCAAGGGCCCAAACCGUCCCCAAUGCAUUACCUAGAUUCUAACUUAUAAAAGUUUGACUCAGAGGAAAUCUCUCUGUGCAGAGGCAAACUGUCAGGUUCUUCUGACAAUAAACUUGUUUCUGCUUAGCUUUGGUAUGUUCGAGUGAUCAGUCCUGGCCAGUUUCCUUUCAACAAUAAAAUUAUUAUUGUCUUUAAUUUCUGACCUAAUCCCAAAUUUGUUAGUAAAAUUCCUUAUAUCCCUUGCACAUAGAGUUAAAAUGUCAGUUUCCUUCUACCAGCUCACCCCAGUCCUUCACUUACCCACUGGAAGUCACACUUAUAUUCAAAAAGAAAUAAACUUUGAAUGCAAGCAUCAGAUACUUGCUCCCACAGGCACCAAACUGGUGCCUAGGGUUCAUUUUUUAUUCCUGUUCCACUCAGUAGUUGACAUAUUUGUGAAUGAGAAGCAAAAAGAAGGCAAUCAUUGGAUUUGGAAUUAUAUUCCAGCCUCAUGAAUUAGACUUUUAAAAUUCAUAUUCUGUAAGUUAUGAGAAAUUCUAUUUUUUUUACUGAUGGAAGUUUAAUGUCUGGAUUUAUUCUCAGUUUGUUAAAUAAGUCCCUGUUUGCUUUUCUUUUCCUUUGUUCAUAAGUAACAUCAGCCUUAGAUUAUGGUAAAAAUUUGGUGCGCUCCUCUCACAUGUUAAUGUUUGUCUCUGUUUAUCAGCUUUAUCUUAUACAUUCAUUGUUUCUUUCUAUACAAUUACAGAGUCUCUUUUAAAUAGGCUAGAAUACAUUCUAAUGUAUGCCUGUACUGUCCUUUUGUAUGUGUGUAGGUGUAUGCCUAUGGAUGUGGAUGCCUACACUCACAGUUGAAAGAAGCUAUUUCUUUUUUAAAGGGAAGAAACAUUAGCCAGCUCAUGUUCCAGACUAUAUACUGAAUUACUUAACUGACUAAGUUCAUUAGCAUUUCAGUAAUGUAACACUUUAAUUGUGCUAUGAAAUUGCUUUCAUCUUCCUCUCCUCUGUAAUGAGAAAUGCUUCGUCCUAUUGUAAAACUUUUGAAGUGUUGUGCACAAUUCUAGGUCUCUGUGACCCUUUCAAACACUAUAUUUAGCUGGAAAGACUUGCCACACUUUUAAGGAUGACUUCCCAAUUCCUUCACAUACCCGAUUCCAGGCUAAUUUCUCAGCCCAUCACUUUUCAUUCACCAUUUCUAGAUCCUAGCUCCUUGGAGUGUUUCACCCCUCAUCAGCAUGCAUACAUUUGUGUCACGGGAUCUAAAUGUCACACCCUUUAAUAAAAAUUUGUUACAUAUGGAUCUUCAUGAGUCUGACUAUUCAAGUAAUAUCUGUCUCACUCAGGAAGACUGAAAGUUCCACGAGGUCAAGAUCAUUUCUAUAUCUCCUGACUUUUUUUAUGUUCAGGGUCUUGUACUCCUAAUCUAAAUGAAUGAAUAAAUGAAAUAAUAAAUCAAUUUCUAAUUGCAUAUAAUUUUAAGGUUCCUGACUAGCAGAGGGAAUAUAAUUUGACCAUAGGGAUUAUUAGACUCCCAUCCUAGAGCAAAAUAAAUAAAUAAAUAAAUAAUGCAAUAUCUCCAUUACAGUAAGACUAUGAAUAAUGGAGGGUACUUAUGCCAAUACAUAAAUAUAAGUUGAAUUAAAGGUUAUUCUGUUGAUAAUGCCUUAUAGACUCUGGGAAACCUCAAGAAACAAGUCAGAUCCUCUUGUCUUUUCUAGCUCUUUGAUUCUUUUGUAAGGGAAGAACUUGAGGCCGUAGAAGUCAAGCUCACAGAAAUCAGUGACAGAUACACUUGUUCAUCGAAAUGUGACAGCUGACACCCAGGAGUUGCUUUUCCUGCCAUCAGUACUCCUGCCUCCCUUCAGUCUUUAAGACUGUCUCCUUGGUUUAAGUGUCCUCUCUCUUCAAACCUUCCCCUUGUUUGUAGCUGUCAGGCAACUAUCAUAGUCUAGACAAGCUGAGAUCGCUAGCAAAUAAUUUGGUUUUUAUGGCUCUGCUUUUUACCUGGGAAUUGUUUCUUUAUUUCAAGUUGUUUGGGGGAUAUUCCAAUGGUAGACUUUUGUUUUUACGUUAGUUUCACAACUAAAUAAUUGCAUGAGUCUUUUUAACUCCUUGAACUUUAAUCUUCUCAAUUGAGAGAUGAAGACAGUGCGUUCAAUUGAAUAGGCUAUUUAUUAUAAAAAUUGCAUUAGAAAUGAAAUUUAAAUUCAAAUGAAACAAAAAUCAAAAAAUGGAUAAAUAAACCAUGUUUUAUAACUUAGCUCCAAAAAUCUUAUCUUAAACAUCCACUUCUAAUUUAAUAUAAAAAAUUGUGGACAAGAAACUGGGAGAGACAGGGCAAAACAUUAAGGGCAGAAAAAUUCUGUGUAUAGAGAAACAAGGAAGAGAUGACAGUAGUUAAACUUGUAAAUUAUAAUAGUUGAUGAGAAAAAAGGGCAAGGUGUAUUUUUGAUAGAUUGAAAUCAACAGCUUUGAAAAUAAAGUCUGCCUUCUCUUUUUAGAAAAGUCUCCUGAAAUGCAUGAUUUGCACAUGUAUUUAACAGUUAUAAGGAAAAAAGGCUAAUAAAUAAUUUAUUGAGUGAAUUUUAUUCAUCUUAAGACACUGACCUUUCUCUACAAAGAUAACUGUAGUUGCCUCCAGCUACGUGAAUCAGUUGAGUUUUUUUUUUUUUUUUCCAUUAGUGAGAGCAGUUUUGGCAACUCUAUUCAUGAAAUUAGAUGUCAACCAAAUGCUCAAAUAUUUACGAAUUGACAUUUUGUGUCUUUUAAAUAUUCAGCCAUUCUAGGUGCAUCAGUCUUCCCUAGUGUAUAGCUAUUAAGAAUGGGUGGCAAGAAAAGUCACAGAAAUAAAAGGAGGUUUUAUAACACAUGGCUUGAAAUCUUAAUGUGGUGCCUCAGAUCUAUCAAACCAAUGAGCAUCAAAGUUCAGUUUCAGCAUCAGUAUUUUUAUGAUAAUUUUUUUUCUUUUUUUCUAUUUCCUCCUGUGGCUGGGUUAUAGAAGGCUGCAGGUAAUGUUUAUGUUGUAAAAUUGAGGCCAGUAAUUUGAUCCCCCCAUAAAACUCACUCACAAUUACAAUAGCAUUGAAAUGGUACAUAAAUGAGUUCUUCAUAAAGCAGAAAAGAAAAAUGGUACAACAGUUAAGCUUUUUAAUGAUGGGCACUAAAGCAAUGCUGCUGAUUAGAUUCUUUGCUAAUUACCUUCUGUUACUUAGAUUGGAUGUAUUUCAGCAGAAUAGAAACAUCUAUUCAUAAAUAGUUGUUUUCUUGGUAGCAAUAUGAAAACAUUUAAUUCUAAACUUAGAAAUUACUUCUCAGGGUUGCACCGUCCAGUCCUCAGUUUGUCAACAAAAGGAAUCAUGCCCCAUCCAAAACAUGGCCACAUGGCUUCCACCCAGCUGGGGUAUAUAUACUAUAUGGAAGGUGGUAAAAAGAAUGCAAUGGUAAUAUUUGAGCUGAUUAUAAAAAAAAUCCCUGGAAAGUGCCUUCUAAGGAGAGAAUCUGAAAUGUGAAAGCACUGAGGUGAGAUGAGCUAGCGUUGUAAAAUAAAAGAGAAAUUUGUCCAAGAUGGAUUUGAGAGUUAGGCAGGGUCAGCUGGCAAGGGGAAUGUAGGGCCAAGAAAGCUAUCAUAAAAAUUAAGUCAUAAAAAUUAAGUCUUAAAAUCUGCACCAAAUGGAGAAAGGGAUGUAGAGAGUAAGAGUAAAAAUAAAAGCCACAUUAGAAGGUUGUUAGGGACUGAAUGUAUUUCUUCAACAUGUAUAUGAGGAAGCCAUCCACCGACAUGUAACUGUAGUUGGAGACAGAGCCCUUCAGGAGAUAAAAAAGGUUUGAUGAGGGCAUCAAAGUAGAGUCCAAAUCCAAUAGGGCUGUCGUGCAUUUAAGAUAAGUCACAACAGAGGUUAGGAAAAUAUGUACACAGAGGAAAGGACCCAGGAGGAUGAGGAUGCAGAAGUAGCCUUUUGCAAGCCAGGGAGAGAAGCCUCAGCAGAAACCAAUCUCUCUAGCCUCUUGGGCUUGGAUAUCCAGCUUUAAAAACUAUAAAAUAUAAAUUUCUGUGGUUUAAGGCCCUCAGUCUAUGUUUAUGGCAGCCCAAGCAGACUAAUUCAAAGGUUAUCCAGUAACUCUUAUAUGUAAUAAAGGUGGCUUAACUUAUGUUGAUUAAUACCCAGAUGGAGAGACAUAAGCAGGUUUAAGACCAAUAUUCAAGGUCAAACUAUCUGCCUGCUAAUGAACUGGGCAAAGGUUAUAAGGUAAAGAAAAAUGGCAAUCACAGAUCUACAGGUAUAUGGGUGUACCAUUGCCUACUCAGAGACUCAUGGAGGAGGAGUACUGUACAGGGCGAGGCAAUUGAUAUUUCUUUUUAUGUUAUGUUAACUCUGAGAUCCCAUUGGGUAUAUGGUAAAUGAUUCAGAAAUACACAUAUUUGCAAGUUGCUGUCAUCUCUUGCAAAAACACCAGUAUUCUACUGGCUAACUUCCAGUUAUCCAGAAUGUAAGACUUUCACCUUGAACUUAAAAAUGUGUGCGCACGUGCACAUACAAACACAGACAGAGACUCUUGUCACAUUUCGGUUGUAUUAAACUAUGACUACAUUCCAGGAUUGUGUUAUUCCCUGGUGAAACAAAGGACCUAAACUAUAUUAAAAUCUUACAGCCUAGAGGGGUAUAAGGGUAUGGAAUGAGGAACAAGAAAAUAAUUAGAAUAGAAGGUGAGAAGCGUUGUCCUGGCAUUACAUAUGAAUUGGAAUGUGGCAGGGAAAACUAAGCUCCCUUGAAGCUCACGUCCUCAUUCUCAGAACCUGUGAACACAUUAUAUUAUGUGGCAAAAAAAAAAAAAAAAGAAGUAAGAUUGUGGACCAGCUGACCUUACAAUGGGAGUAUAUCCUAGAACAUGAGUUCUUAAUGAAGAAGAGGGAGAAGAAAGGGCCAGGGAGAAGCACCCUGAAAUGUGUUUGGCUGGCUGCUGCUGCCUUUGCAGAUGGAGGUUAGUUGCCAUGAGCUAAAUAAACACCCUUGGCAUCUUGAAGGUAGAAAAAUCAAGGGAGUGGGUUUUCCAUUAGAACCUACAGACAGAACACAGUGCCACAGAUAUCUUGAUUUCCUACCAGUGAGAACAGUGCCAGAUUUCUGACCACCUAGAACUCUAAUCAAUCUGUAUUAAACAACUAAUAUUAUGGUAAUUUGUUUCAUUAUCUCUACAAAAUUAAUACAAACAUCUAAUGCAGACUUCAAGAUCCAGGAGGAAUUUCUUUAGGAAGUAGCACCCAAGUUGAAGACUGAAUGAUGAAUAGAAGUUAUUCUGUCAGGAAAAAAAUGAGGUGGGAGAAGCCCAACCGGUGAUCUCCUUACCGCCAAAAAAGACUUGUAUUGAGGGGCAUAUUGAACAAUCAUAUUUACAUCAUUAUUCAGCAAAUGCACCAAAUAAAUAGUUGAAAACUCACAAUUAUGAUCUCAUUUAGCAAGAUCUUCAAUAUCAAGACUUUAUUACAAAGGCCAUCAUCAUGAAGUUUUAUAAAAGAAAGAUGACUCCUGAUUCCACUUUGAUUAUUCUUCAGAUUAGUUCAAACAGUAUUCAUUUAUGUAAAUGUAUGAAACAAGAUGAAAAGCAAAGACUGCAGUGGCUGGAGAUAUAGCUCAGUUGGUAGAGAGCUUGCCUUGAAUGCAUAUAAGUCCUUGGGUUCAGUCCCCAGCACUACAAAUAAAUAAAUAUUUUUUUUUUUUUAAAAAAAGUAUUGUAGCUAGGUGCAGUGGCAUAUGCCUAUAAUCCCAGCAUCUCUGGAGACUGAGUCAGGAGGAUCCUGAGUUCAAAGCCAGCCUCAGCAAUUUAGUGAGGCCCUGAGCAAUUCAGAGAGACCUCUCUCUAAAUACAAAAAGGCCUGAGGAUGUUGCUCAGUAGUGGAGUAUCCUGGGUUCAAUCUGUGAUAUCCCCCCUCCAUAAAAAAGCAAAGACUACACACAGCUAUGCCAAUAAUGAUGAACUACAACCCCCUAUUCAUGCAUAAGAUGCCUAGAGAACGUUUAUUUUAUGAAGAUAAGCACAUACUUCAGAGUGUACUGCAUGAAUUGGCCUGUGAGAGGUGGACCCCCUGAGGAAUGGAAAAGAGGAUAAGUUCACUGACGAGAAAAGUUGAAGAAGUGAUCUGCAGAGAAACAACCAACUAAACACUUAAUAUAUGAAAUAUUGAAAUGAAAGAAGUGGGGAUGAGAGAAAAUAAUUUAUGGAAAUUUAAACAGAAAAUAAAUCCUCUGGCACAAUGAAAUCCCAUUAUGACACAUUUGUUCAUUUCAGAGUUUCUAAUGUACCAGAAAUUAAAUCAUACAAUUUAAAAUGGAACUUCUUUUAAUGGAAAAUGUGGUCUAAAUGGAGUGUCUUCUCCACUCACACUGGUAUUACAAAGGGAAUACUGUUCUUGUUGAUGCAGCAGUGCACAGAGCACCUGAACUAUGAUAUAGUCUAAUAAAAAAAUGUUUAGCUAUUAAAUGACCAAGAAACUUAAUAAUGUGAUAAGCAUAGAAAAUAUUAAUAUGUGUGUUAAGAAUUAUUAUGAGAGAUCUGCUAUUGUACUCCAUCUUUCUUUAAAAUUCAUGGUAAAUAUUUAUUAUUAAAUAAUACAAUAAUUAACUUUCACAGUGAUUAAAACUUUUUUUUUAAAUCAGGAAAAUCUCCAAAACUAAUAAUGAAGAUGAUUGUUUAUUUUUGUUGUUAGGUACAACUGCCUUGACAAAGCCAUUUUAGGUUUAAGGAAAUAGAGAUAGACUCACAUUAUUAGCUCUUCUGUACCUCUACCUAUGAGAAUUCCUUAAGGUCCUGGGUUUCUCAUGAAGGGAGAACAGGUUAUAGACAAAAACAAAUGCAGUUCCAAUCUCCAGAACCACUCCCAGCCCUCUUAGAAAUCAAUGAUAUUCAUAUCAAAGACUUCCAGUAAACAGUUUAAAUGUGUUCAACACAGGGCUCUAUAAAUAGACUAGACUCUGCAGCUGAUUUUCAUAUAUUACAUAUUCUAUAGCUACUUCUUUUUAUCAUACAUAAAACUGUUGCAGAAACAUGGCCACAAACUUAGAACUGUGAGAAGCUUAAGAAUCUCUGAGAUGUUGGUUCUACCAGGAUAUUAUCAGCUAUUUUAAUCAAUUACCAUCUUCUGGUUGAAUAGUGAUCACUUACAAGUGUUAUUACCAUGGGUCACUUAUGAAUGUCAUGUGAUAGACUCAUAACUUACCUGAAGUGAUAUAAAACCAUGUAUUUCAGUCCUAAUGACCACCCCUUUGUGUAGAUAGAGUCUGUAGUAUAUCCCACUUAUUUUAGCAGUUAACAUGUACCUUCAAGUUAUAGUGUUUACUAAAUGAAUGUUAGGAACAUGAAAAGAAAAUAUCUCAAAUUAUAGAAUAUGAAAUAAAUUUUGAGCAAAGAAGUCAUAAUGUUUGAAAAAAGCAUAGUCAUGUUAUUGAGCUUGCUUGUAAUUGAAAGGACACCAGAUCCUCAAAGCUAGAUGAUUUGACUUAGCAUAAGUCUCUGUGGAUUUAUAAAAUUUAAACUGAAAUCUAGUUGAAAAAAAUGAGCAAUAGGGAUUUGGAGAUGUAUUUUCUUAGUUAGAACAUGCAAACUAUUAGAAGAGGAAGUUAAAUAAAUAGAGUAUGAAUUGAAGGAUGGUGGGAAGGCAAUUAUGAAUAAAUAUUAUUAAUUGUGAUACAAUAGCCAAUGUAUUUUAUGAGGAGCAGAAGAUAGAUCAAGAUGAAUGUCCAUAAAUAUUAUUUAAGCUGAUUGACUUUAUAAUUUUCCAAAGACAUAUUAAAGUGCAUAUGUCAGUUCCUUUGGAAAUAAAGUGCAUAUGAAUUAAACACUUGGUGGAAAGAAACUUUAUCAAAUUAUUAAAUGUAGUUAUCUGCAGUAUUAAUAGUACAAGUAAUCUGAUGACAGCUAAGCCUUUUUUUGAGGGCAUGGUAUAUUUCCCUCCCUCCCUCCCUCUCUUCCUUCCUUCCUUUCAUCUGACUAAUUGUAUAUAAAAUAAAGAUGAUUGUAACACCUGCUACAUGGGGAUAGACUGAGUCAUAAAAUACAGAUACCUAGGAGAUAAGCAAUAUGCUCUAUUAUUUUUAGAGAUGCUAAUACUUUACAAACAUCAUCCAAAUAGUAUGUGAAGGAGCCAUUUUGGACAUGGUCCAAGUUCAAGUUUUUAAAUGUUUUGCUUUAUGGCAUCCUAGAGUUCAAAUAUGGUAAAUUCAAUAAGUGGCAGGGUCGAUUGGCAUCACCUUGGACAAGGAGAGCAUUUUAGCUGCUGUGCUGUCUCACUAAGGAACCUUCUACCUUGGUAAAAUCACGUAACUUUUCUGUGAUUCAAAGUCUUAUUUCAAAAAAGAACCUAGAAAAAAAAUGUUUGGAGGUUAACUCCUGGUACAUGAAUAGAAACUGACCACAUUAUAUCAUUCUGAAGGACUACACAGUUUUAUUCUUUGAAUAGUUGUUUUGUAGGUACCUAGGCAGAAAAUCUGUAGCCCAAACACACCGUCCUUACCUAACUCAAGUAUUUGGUGUCUCACUGUCUCAAGCAGCAUAGAAGCUAAGAACAUGAACGUGUGCUUGACUUUUAAACCUGUUCUUUACAUCUUCAAAAGAGCAAUAGAACAAACAAAAUGUUUCCUUCACAGUAAAAAUUGCCUUUUCUGUGUAAAUUAAAAUAAACACUAAAUCAUACACACUCAGGGACACAAAUAAUCCAACUGAAUUCAAGUCAAAAUUAAUUAAAUUUCAAACUAAGACACUGCAGUUAUUAAGUUCACAUUAGGCAUAUUUGAAAGCAAAAAAUAGAAUAUUGGAUUAUGAAUACUUUAAGAUUAACAUUACCUCUAUCUUUUAUGAACUGUCAGAAUAUAAUAAAUUGAAUCUCCUUGUCUACUAUGAUUUAUAUUUCUAUAUAUUGAAAAUAUAUAUGUAUAUAUGUAUACAUAUAUUCUCCCCAGAAAAAGUCCUGAAAAUUUAGUGUUCCUAACUCCAUUUUGUAAAGAAGGAAGCAGGAGUAGAAUGUGUCCUUUCAAUUUAUCUUUCUUUCUCCUUUUUCCUACCUUCCUUCCUUGUUCUUUUGUAAGGACUAUAUUAUUUCCCCAGCAUUGCAAUAGUAAGCCCUGAAGACAAAUGCUAGACUGUUAGUGAAGGGAUCUGGAUUCCAAACAGCCCAAUUUGUAAAAAUUCAAGUGGCCUGCACCAUUCACUACACCUCGUUAGAGUCAUUCUGACCUCUCAUCCUUCUGAAUAUAAAUCAAACAGUUGUUACUACCUGCCUUGGACUUUUUCACCUUAUCUGAGAAUUACAUGUAAAGUGUGUUGGAAAGGAAAUUAUCUGAGGCGAAAUGAAAAUAGAUAUGUAAAUUCCAUUUCCUAUCACAUCCAAUACUGCAUCAAAGGGAUAUAGCUUUUCAUGUGCUCAUUCCCAAAGAUAUAUCAAGCAACAACCAGGCAUUUUGAGAGAGCUGUGAAUAAACAGAGAAUGCAAUGUUACUGCCACAGGAGCUGACAGUGUAAGGAGAAAAAUAAAUAAAAGCAAAUUGUCAGAAUUAGUAUGAAAGCUCUUAAAAAGCAGAUGUGGUAAAGAGUAAAGCUGCAUGUAUAGGGCCACAGAAUGAGUCAUCCAAAAUGUAUCUAAAGAGAUGACUUUUGAACUGGGCAGUAAUUAAUGAGAAGCUACCUAUGAAAAGAGAUAGUAAUAGGAUGUUUAAAGCAGAGAAAGAAGCACAUACAAAAUCUCUGAAUGCCAAAAGUUUCCAAGAUUCCAAAUCGGUGUGGAGGAGAAAUGUCCCCAAGUGACCCUUCUUCUUGGUAUUGAUAUUCCUGGUUAAACCCCACCUUUUGAGUGUAAGUGUGAGCUGUGGUUUUCUUCUCAUCAAUGGAAAAGCUGCAAGUGUGACCAAAUGCAUCUUCAGUGAUAACACUUGAUUAAAAUGUAUCUCUGUCUUGGUAGCAGACAGUUGCCCUUGUUUACCUUGAUGAAGAAAGAGGUCAUAUUGGGGAGGCUCUUCUGAUGGUAAACUGGGGAUUUACAGCCAAACAGAAAUUGCGAAUGGUCCCUGGCCAGCAACCAGUGAGAACCUGAAUCCAUUAGUCUUGGAUGCAGGUUUCCUCUUUGGUCCAGCUUUCAUAUGAGACCCCAGUUUUUGCCAGACUGUUGAUUGCAAGCUUGUGGCACACCCUGAAGCACAGAAUCCAGCUAAUCCCAGUCUUAAUUCCUAGCCCACAGGAACAUUGAAAUAAUAAAUGACAGUUGCCUUAGAGCACUAAUUUUAUGGUAAUACUGUUAGAAAUCGAGAGAUAACUGAUGGGUUAGCUUUGGCUGGAAUGUUCUGAAAGGGAUUCAGGUGGAAUGAGGUGAAGACGGAGACAUCAACCUGGGCUUGGUUUUAGAGUGUACUUUGAUCUCUGAAUAGGAGUUUUACUUAUUCUCAAUGCAGUGGACCACUAUCAAAGGAUGUAAGACUGGCCACCUGAUCUGAUCAGCCCUUUUAGAAGAUCACUGUGAUCACUGUAUGAUGAACAUUGGUUAAAGAUAUAAAAAUUAUAAAACCAGUAAUUCACGACAGGGACAAGUGCUCUGAGAGGUCCGAUGGUCAAAUUAGCUUUGCUAAGGAAGAACUGAACUCACCUUUGAAAUUCUCACAGAAUGUGGAUGGGCCAAAAAGGAGUAGGGGAGGGCUAUGAUCCCCAAAGACACUGGAAUGAGUCAGACAUAACUUUCCUAUGUUCAUAUAUGAAUAUAUAAUCAGUGAAAUUCCACAUCAUAUUCAACCACAAGAAUGGGAUCUUAAUUAGAAUAAGUUAUACUCCAUGCCUAUAUAAUAUGUCAAAAUAUGUCAAUAUACAUCAUGUAUAUCUAAAAAGAACAAAAAAAAUAUCUGAGUAACUCUUGAUGUGGGAAUGAAUGAGCAUUACAGAGAGACCAAGGUCAUGUGUGACUAUAGCAAAGCAUCCACAUCAAGAAGUAAAGUUGAUCUGGAUUAAGAAGUAUUUUACUUUCACCAUCAUCUGAGGAAAAAAUCAACAACCUUAGACUUUGACAGUCUGAUUCUCAGACUGAAAUAUUCAUAAGUAUUAAUAAUUAGCCUCCUGUGGAAGCCCUUCCAACUGCAGCAAUGCGAUCAAGGUAAUUUUUUUAUCAUUCACUCACAGAAAGAAAAUACUGACUCUAUUAAAGAAAUACAUUUGUUGAGAAAACAGAUUACGUGCAUCAUAUGAAAUAUCCUGAUGGAGUGAAUCACAUCAGAACACUGGAUUUGCUGUAAACAUAUGAACAAUAGAAGAUAAAAUAUAAUGGUCUUUAAUUUUUUACCAUUUCAGUGUAUUGGGAAAUCAAACUGUAGGCAUUUUAUUUAUUUAUAUUUGGUAAUGAGGAUUGAACCCACAGGGGCUUUACCAAUGAGCCACAUCCUCAGCCCUUUUAAUAUUUUAUUUAGAUAGGGUCUUUCUCUGUUGUUUCAGGUCUUGCUAAGUUGAUGAGGUUGGCUUUGAACUUGUGAUCCUCCUGCCUCAGCCUCCCAAGGUUCUGGGAUUAUAGGGGUGCACUACCAUGCCCAGCUGAGCAUCUUCCGUCUACACUGGGUGCAGAAAUAGAAGAAUGAAGAAGCCAGUAGAAAAUGCAUAGAAGUAAACAUUUGAGAACCUGAAUGAAGAAAUGCCUCACAUUGUACUGUAAUCAAAAAAGAAAAAAAAAAGAAUUUAAACAAACUAAAAUAAUUGCCUCCGCAUGUUUGCAUUCUUCUUUGUGGAAGGUAAAAAACUCCUGCAACUAUCUUCUGUUUAGACAGAAAGCACAUCAAGCCUCAUCAUAGGUUUCUGAGAAACAAUGUUUACAAAAUAUGUCAACCUCAUGAAACUAGGACAGUUCUUCAUUAACACUCAGGUUUUUGACAGUUUCUGCUCUUGAGAGAACCAAGUCCAGGCAUGAAAGGUGG